UAGUUGGGAGUUUUCUUUCCUUGUUUAAUUAUUUGUGGAACGUCUAUAUGUUUUUGACCAAGUUUACCUGAAUGAUUCUCUGAAAUCCACUAAGAAUGGACUUCAAUGGUUUUAAGAUAUAUUAAUUUUCUCCAUAGUAUUUGAUUUCUAGGAUAUGUAGAAGUCUUUUGUGUUUGGACUAUUUACAAUAAAUUUUAGGGAAUUUCAAAGGAUGCUAAUAGCUAUGGUCUAUGACUCAGCAGUGCCUACUCUUUAUCCUGCAUUCAGCCAAAUUUCCUAGCAUCCCCAUUUUGCCAAAGUUUGUAUUCCUCUAGUGUAUUCUACUAAAUCCACCAAGGACCCCGUAUUUUUGGCCUUUCUGAAUGCUGAAUUUGGAAGCUUCCUCAGUGCUUAUGGGAGAAGAAAGAAAAAAUGACUGAGAAAGCAUCAAAUCUUGUUAGAAAGCAUGUGACUGAAUGUAGCAUAACAAAAAUUGUCGCCCUAGAUAGAUAAGAUUCAUCCAGUUGACCACAAUGGGUAUAAGCAAGGACUUCUAAUCUUUUUAUAGAGUAAUGGACAAUUAAAAAACUUUUUUUUUGCUUAUGCUUAUGCUAAACUCUGAAUUUUGUAGUUAAAUAGAUGUUAUUCUUAGAUGCGAUUCCUUGCAAUUAUUUCAACUGUGUACUUUGCAUAUCCAAUCUACUAUCCAAUAUCACAAAUUGCAUCCAUCAAAGGCAUUGAGCUGCCACUGCUUUGUGUCUUAUAUCCAAAUGUACCUUGUUUUAGCACAAUUUGUCAUAGGCUGUAGUGAACAAACAGCAGUUAUGAUUGUCCCUUGCUAUAUUGACAGACCUAUUAACAAGCAACAAAAAAGGCUUAUAUUCCCCUCCCCACGGUGCCCACCUCUAGGGUCAAAAAAAGAAAGAAUGCUAAGAUGUGUUAUAAUUUCGGGAAAGGAAAACGUCUUCAGAUUUUUGUUGUCUUGCUCGCAAUAGUUGUUGAAAGUUUUUUAAAAAGAAAAGAAAUAAAUAAAAAACUCUGCUUUUCUUUAUUUUCCCACACACCAAAUAUGCUUACAAGGUAGGCAUUUAUAGGACAACCCUCUUAUAGUUCUGCCACAACUUAAGGUAAUAGAACCAUGAUUUUAGGGAUUACAUAAUCAACUCAUAUCCUAUCUUCUAUUCAAACUUGAUUGAUCAUAAGCAAUAAAAUCCCAUAAUCAUGGGAGAUAAUCUCUCAUAAUCAUGGGAGAUAAUAUUUCAUAAUCAUAGGAGAUAAUAUCUCCUAUAAUCAUGAGAGAUAAUCAUGGGAUUUAAUAUCUCCCAUAAUCAUAGGAGAUAAUAUCUUCGACACCCCCCCCCCCUAAAGUUGGUGCAUAUAUAUUUAUCAUGCCCAACUUGCUUGUAAGAAGUUCAAAAUUUGGUCUAAAGAGUCCUUUGGUGAGAAUGUCAGCUAUCUGCUGAGCUGAUGGAACGAAUGGCAUGCAGAUAAUUCCUCCUUCAAGUUUCUUUUUUAUGAAGUGGCGGUCAAUCUCAAUAUGUUUGGUUCUAUCAUGUUGUACAGGAUUGUGAGCUAUGCUAAUUGCUGCCUGGUUAUCACAAUAGAGCCUCAUUGGAAGUUCAAUAGGUCUUUUCAGCUCCUCUAAAACUCUCUUCAGCCAUAACAUCUCACACACACCAUGAGCCAUAGCUCGGUACUCUGCCUUUGCACUACUACAAGCUACUACCCUUUGUUUCUUACUUCUCCAAGUAACCAAAUUGCCCCAUACAAAGGUACAAUACCCCAAGGUUGAUCUUCUAUCAAUGACUGAUCCUGCCCAAUCAGCAUCUGUAUAAGCUUCAAUGGUCUUUCGAUCUCCCCUUUUAAAGAACAAUCCUUUUCCUGGAGUACUUUUUAAGUACCUCGGAAUUCGAUAUACUGCAUCAAGGUGCUUUUCAUAUGCAGAAUGCAUAAACUGGCUCACAACACUCUCUGAAAAGGCUAUAUCAGGACGAUUAUGAGCCAAGUAAAUUAGCUUGCCUACUAACUUUUGGUAUCGAGCAGUAUCAACUGGUGUUCCAUCUUUUAUAUCUGUUAACUUGUGAUUCGGAUCCAUAAGAGUGUCUGCAGGUCGACAUCCACUCAUCCCUGUUUCCUUUAAAAGAUCCAAAACAUACUUGCGUUGGGACACAACUAUGCCUUUCUUGGACCGAGCUACCUCCAUCCCUAAGAAAUAUUGUAGUGUUCCCAAAUCUUUGAUUUCAAAGCUAGAAGCAAGACUUUUCUUCAACCACUUCAUCUCAAUUAAGUCAUCUCCUGUGAGAAUGAUAUCAUCCACGUACACAAUGAGUACUGCUAUCUUCCCGUCCUUGGAGUGUUUAACAAAUAUGGUGUGAUCACUCUGAGUUUGGGUAUAGUCUUGAUCUUUUACCAACCUAGUAAAUUUGUCAAACCAGGCCCUAGGAGAUUGUUUGAAACCAUAUAACGAUUUUUUUAGCUUGCAAACUCUAGACUGAAACUUUCCUUCAAAUCCAGGGGGAGAAUCCAUGUACACCUCUUCCUCCAGACCUCCAUUUAAAAAUGCAUUCUUGACAUCAAGUUGUUGGAGUGGCCAAUCAAGGUUUACUGCUAUUGAGGGAAGCACUCUAAUAGUGUUUAAUUUUGUCCCUGGAGCAAAAGUUUCAAGAUAAUCAAUGCCGUAGGUUUGAGUGAACCCUUUAGCCACCAAUCGAGCUUUGUACCGUUCCAAUGUCCCAUUGGAAUUAUACUUGAUGGUAAAGACCCAUUUACACCCUACUGUCUUUUUCCCUUGUGGCAGGUUUGUUACUUCCCAUGUUUGAUUCUUCUCAAAAGCAUACAUCUCCUCUUCAAUAGCCUUUCUCCACUCUGGAACUUGUAAUGCUUCCUGUGCAUUUUUUGGAAUUUUCACAGCAGAAAGUUGUGAAGUAAAUGUCAAGAAAGUAGGGACAGUUAGUCAUGGGGUGUUUUUGGUACAAGAUUCGAAGUGCAAUAGGAAGACCCAAAUCAGCCAUCUUUGAAUCAGAGGAAACUUUAUCUGAGGACUCAAAUACAUCAAAUUCUGCCCUAGGUUCGGAUUCUUUGUUGUGAAGAGAAGGGGGAGCUUUAUCUUUUCCUCGAUGAUUUUUCCUGACAUAGGUUUUCAAGUUUUUUUCAGUUACAUUCCCAUCUCUUUCACUAAGAGAAUUCGACUCUGUUAUUGGCACUAAAGACGAGAUCCUCUUCUAAUCCUUGAUCAAUUUUUUCAAGUUUUUCAAAAUCCUUUUGACGGGCAAAUUGAAGAGUAUCAUUUGAUUUUUCUGGAUUAUUAUCUUGAAAAGGUUCUUGUUGAGGAAAUUGUGCUGUAGAUUCUUCUAAAAAAUCAGAAAAAUCGAUUCUCCUAUCAGCAAAAUUUUGAUCAGGAAUUUGAUUUUCAAUACGAAAAAAUCAUCAUCUUCUACAAGUUCUUCUACAUGCCGAGUCCCCCCCAGAAGAGGAUCUCCAAAAAAAGGUUUAUCUUCAAAAAAUGUUACAUCCAUAGUUACAAACAUUUUUUUCGAAAUGGGAUCAAAGCAUUUAUACCCCUUUUGCGUGGGUGCAUAUCCAACAAAAAUGCACUUUUUUGCUUGAGGGUCUAACUUACUUCGACCUUGUUCAUGAUUGUGAACAAAGGCUAUGCACCCAAACACCUUUAAUGAGACUUCAUAUGUUAAUCGAGAAAUGGGAUAAAGUGUUUUGAAAAAAUUCAGAGUUUGGAAAUUCAAGGUUCUUGAGGGCAUUUUGUUUAUGAGAUAUGUAGCAGUUAAAAUUGCUUCGCCCCAUAGAUAUUUAGGAACAUUUCUUGAAAAAAGUAAUGUCCUCGCCACUUCUAAAAGAUGUUUUUUUUCUUUCAGCUACCCCAUUUUGUUGUGGGGGUAUCAUUGCAGGAGGUUUGAUGCACAAUUCCUUUUUCAAGAAAAAACCUUCCCAAAAUUUUAUUGAAAUGUUCUUUUCCAUUGUCACUCCGAACAAUUUUGAUUUUUUCUUGAAAUUGGGUCAAAACUAUGCUGUAGAAAUUUUAAAACACAGUUGCAACCUCUGAUUUCUCUCUUAACAUAUACACCCAACAAACUCUUGUGUGAUCAUCGAUGAAUGUAACAAACCAUUGUUUUCCAGACGGAGUUGAAAUUCUAGAGGGACCCCAAAUAUCAGUAUGUAAUAGAAGAAACGGUUUUGAUGGUUGAUAAGGAUGUAUAGAAAAUGUAGACCAAUGAUGUUUAGCCAAUUCGCAGAUUUCACAUUGAAAGGAAGAUGAAUCUUUAUUCUUAAACAAAUCUGGCAAUAAAUAUUUCAUGUAAUAAAAACUAGGAUGUCCUAGUCUAAAGUGCAAUAACAUAAUCUCUUUAUUACUAGUAAUAGAGACAGACCUGUAACAUGUGUUUUUGAUUGGUGUUGACAAAUUUGAUUCAUCUUCAAGGAAGUAAAGUCUCCAUUUUCUCUAGCACAUCCAAUCAUCCUCCCCGUGGUCAGUUCCUGAAACUCACAAAAAGAGGGGAAAAAAUUAAUCCGACACUUGAGAUCCCUAGUUAAUUUACUUAUGGACAGCAAAUUGCAUGAUAAAUUUGGAACAUGAACUCUAUGAAGUGUGAGAGUAGGAGAGAUGACAACGGAACUUAUGCCAACUAUGACGGAUAAUGCUCCGUCAGCAACCUUGACUCUUUUAUUGGCUGCACAUGGACUGUAGGUAGAAAAUAAUUGUGACUAACUGGUCAUAUGGUCAGUGGCCCCAGAAUCAAACCCAUACAAUCCGUGGACAAGAUGCAUUUGAUGUUUUACAUGAAAGAGCAACAGUAAAAAGAUUACCAUUUUUAGCAAAAGAACAGAAAGGAGUGAAGCUUUUUGGUUUAGUGACUGAAAAUUGUGGAGACUUAAAGAGUUUGUACAGUUGGUUUAAUUGUUCCUUUGUGAAGGCCAGUGUCUCAGAGUCAGUUUAUUGCUUUUGAGAAUCCUCAUUCACAGUCUGCAAUACCUUGCUAUCACCUCCAUUUUUCUUCUUGAAAUUCGAUGGUUUCCCAUGUAAUUUCCAGCACGUGUCCUUUGUGUGCCACGACUUUUUAUAGUGUUCACACCAAGGCUUCCUUCGUUUAUCUCCGUUCAAAUCUGUUCCCUUAGAAACCAAUGCUGAAGUCUUAACUUCACACUCUGCCUUGGACUUUAGCAUCACCUUACGCCUUGAUUCUUCUCUUCUGACCUCAGAAAAUACUUCACGAAUGGAGGGAAGAGGCUUCCUGCCCAAAAUACGACCUCGCACCUCAUCAAGUUCUUGAUUUAGUCCAGCCAGGAAGACAUAGACUCAGUCAUUCUCCUCCCAUUUCUUGUAUCGAACACUGUCUGCACGGCAGUCCCAUUCAUCCUCAUAACAAAGAUCCAAUUCCUGCCAUAAAGUUACCAUCUGAUUGUGUAAUAGGUUGUAACAUCUCUAUCUUCUUGUCUUGAUUUUCACAAUUUCGUCUUGAGAUGGAAAAUUUGAGACGAAUUCUCUAUAUCGGAAUACAUAUCCCGGACAGCGUCCCACACAUCUUUGGCUGUGGGCAAAAAUAAGUGUGGCUUUCUUAUCGCUGGUUCCAUAGAGUUUAUCAACCAAGCAAUAACUAGAGAGUUCUCUGAAUGCCAUCUCUUCAAAUUGGGAUCUUCAGUAGCUGGUUGUUGAAUUUCUCCAGUAAGGUGGCCGAGUUUACCUCUGCCAUCAAUAGCCAGUUUUACGAAUUGAGCCCAUUCCAGAUAAUUGGAACCAUUUAAUUUAUGAACGGUUAUUUAUAGGGAAGGAGAAUUUGAAGCAGAGUAAUCUGUAGUUUGGAUAACUACUGAAGACGAGGAUGAGUCUUCUCUUGUGUGAGCAGUAGAUCCAGUUAUGGCUGCUCGGUAGUUCAUGGCAGGAAUUCGUACAGAGCCGGAGCUCUGAUACCAUGAAAGUUUUUUAAAAAGAAAAGGAAAUAAAUAAAAAACUCUGCUUUUCUUUAUUUUCCCACACACCAAAUAUGCUUACAAGGUAGGCAUUUAUAGGACAACCCUAUUAUAGUUCUGCCACAACUUAAGGUAAUAGAACCAUGAUUUUAGGGAUUACAUAAUCAACUCAUAUCCUAUCUUCUAUUCAAACUUGAUUGAUCAUAAGCAAUAAAAUCCUAUAAUCAUGGGAGAUAAUAUCUCCCAUAAUCAUAGGAGAUAAUAUCUCCCAUAAUCAUAGGAGAUAAUAUCUUCGACAGUUGUGACAGAUGCCUUAAAAAAAUUAAAAAAUAUUUGUGACAGAUGAAAAUGCAUACAAGAGAAGAAUUACAAUUUGAUUUUUCUAGUUAAAGUGAUGUUAUACUUAGAUGUUAUUCCUGCAAUUAUUGCAAAUGGAUACUUUGUAUUUCCAGACUACUAAUAAAUAUCAACAAAUUGCAUCUGCCAGUGCCUUGAUCUGCCACUGCCUUGUGGCUUAUAUCCAAAUGUGGCUUGUUUUAGAACAAUUUUUCAUAGGUUCUAGUGCACCCUUCUAGUAACAUUAUUUGCUGUUGAACAAAGAACGGGAUAUGAUUGUCCCUUGCUAUAUUUACAGUUCUAUUAACAAGGAACAAAAAGGACUUAUGUUGUUCUCCACCCCACCCCAAAAAAAGGACUCUUAAAGAUGGGUUAUAUUUUGGGAAACGAAGACGUCUUCAGAUAUUUUGUCUUGCUUACAAUAGCUGUGACAGAUGAAAAUGCAUACAGGUGAAGGAUUACAAUUUGAGGAGUGGAAGAUUUCAUCACAUCUUGCUGGUUUUGUUCCACCUUUAUUUUUCUCCCUCUCUGGUUGUUAACAAGUUCUCACUGCUUUCUUGGUGUGUUUAACAUGUAAAGCAUUGGUACUCUUAAUCUAGUUUGUAUAACAAUACUUGCAUAUACUGAUGCGCUUCGAUUUGAAUAAGCUCCAGACGAGGGCAAGUAGGAUGAAAUAUCUUGUCUUUGUCAAUUUAUGGCAUGAAAUUGAAUGAAAAGGAAAUGUUAUUUCGUGACUUUGAGUUUUUUUAUUUGUGACUGGCCGCUUUUAUUUGUCUAAUUAUACAGGAAAAAUGUGACAUGGCUGCCAAAGAAGCUGAUAUAGCUAAAGCAGCAUGGUUGUGCCGGGUAUGCUUGAGCAAUGAAGUAGAUGUGACAAUAAUUCCAUGCGGCCAUGUGUUAUGUCGAAGAUGCUCUUCUGCUGUUAGAAGGUGUCCUUUCUGUCGCCUCCAGGUCUCGAAAACGAUCAGAAUCUUCCGUCCUUGAAAACACCAAGCACAAGAUUUUGAGUUUUCGCAGUGAGAAGAAAAUUUAAUUCUUUACCAUUUUGGUACCUGCUUCUUUCGGUGUGCUCAUGAUCGUCAUUUGGUUCCUUUCCUUAACCUAUAGCAUUUGUAAAAUUGUAGUAUAUUGGUUUCAGACAUUCUGUACAUAGUUGUACAGCUAUUCUCAUAUUGGCUUGUAUAGCAAAUAUUCAUCUAAACAUAGAUUGAUUUCUUGAAAGUUCACCAGUUAUAUAGGACAUAAUAGUAAACUAUUUUGGUCAAAGGAACUUCCUUCAAUUAUUCAGUUAAAAUGAUUUCCUAUUGAUUGGAAAGCUUCAAUAUGGUCUUGUGCACGAAAAGGGGGUCGCGUACCCUAAUACGGUGGUCUUGCAAUCAUACAAAUCAAUCUAACUCGCUGCUGGUGUUUUGUAAGUCCUGCUCAGUGCUGACUUUCAAGUCAAGACUAUAGGGUUUGGUUGUAGGUAGGCAAAUUGGAAUUACAGUUUAACGUGACCGUUAAACUUUUCUUCUUCUUGUUAUUUAUUUAUUUUAUUAUUAUUGUUUUGUGAAGGCCGUAUUAGUGGAGCAUUUUUAUAUAGUAGACCUUCUGGAAUCCAAGAAAUGAACAGGAAUUAGUUCGUAGUAACAAAUAUGGUGGUACACGUUUGCCUUGUAGAUUGUUAUUUGUCAUUUUUAUGUACCAACUCCUUGUUGGAAAUUGUGGGAUAGUUGUUUGAAUAUUUUUUUUGAAAGAUCGUUAAAUUUUCCCUUCACAAAAGUUGAAUUUUCCUAGAACUCUAACCAAGUUUAAAAUUCUAAGCAGUGUUAGACUCAACAUGAUAUGAAUUGAUUUUAAUUUGAUAAAAGUUAAUUUCCUUCUUUUGAACUAUUUAAAUUAGAUUUGUAGAGAGUGUUUGAUGGGUAUUCCAAAACCAAAAUAAGCAGGUUGGUAAUUAGAGAUAAAAUCCCGUAGAGUUAUCUGAUUGAACUUGGUAAAAGAUUUAAAUAUAUGGGUUUGGAUUUAGUAAGAGGGAUUUUGGAGAAUAUUUGACCUGCUGUCAUUCUUACACUAUCUUGUCUCAAAUUGCUUUAUCACUUGUCCAACUUUUAAAUGUAUCAAAAUGAGCACACGGCCAAAAAAAAGUCACUCAACUAUUUAAGAUUACACCAUUUAGUCACUAAGCCUUUUUUUUUUUUGCCAAAAAGGUCAAUGAGCUAGAAAAAUUGUACUCCCUCCGUCCCAUUGCUAAUGUCAUGUUUCCACUUUUUUGUUGUCCCAAAAUAAGAGUCUCAUGGCAAAAGUCAAACAACUUUCACUGCUACUUUCCUUUUAUACCCUUAGUAAUAAUGACAAGAUUCCAUCAAUUAAUAAUAAACAAUUGCAUAUGGCCCACCACAACACAUGCACACUUUCACCUAGGGCUGCAAACGAGUCGAGUCGAGUCGAGUUUUGAGCUAAUCGAGCCGAGUCUCGACUAAAUUUUACCAAACUCGAGCUCGAGCUCGACGAGUUGGCAAUUUUCGAGCUCGAGCUCGACUCGAAUCAAGUCGAGCCGAGCUCGAGCUUUAAAAAAAAAAAUUAUUUUAUUUUUAAAAAAAAUAAAUAAAAUAAUAUUUUUUUCUGAAUAAAUAAUAAAAUAUUAAAGAUAUAUCCGUAAUUUCACUAUGAAAAUAAAAAAUAAAAUAUAUAUAUAAUAUACGUAAUUUUAUUAUUAAAUAAAAAUAAAAAUAAAAAAUAUAUAUAUACUCAAGCUCGCGAGCUAACGAGCUUAAUAUUCUGAGCUCGAGUUCGAGCUCGAGCUCGACUCGAGCCGCUCGCGAGCGACUCGAUUCGUUUGCAACCCUACUUUCACCAUUCCUGUAACCUUUUGCUUUUAGCUGGCUAUUUCCGUAUGUCAGACAAUGGAUAAAACUGGAAGAAUAUGAAAAGUGCAGUCCACCAUUUUACUGUGCAUAAAAAGUGCAACUCCUGGAAAACGUCCCAAAUUUUGGGACGGAGGGAGUAUCUUUUAUGGUUGUGAAUUUCAGAGGAAGAGAAUAAAUUCCCCAUAUUUUUAUUCAUCAAUCGUAAGGGUAUAUAUACAGGUAUAGACAUCCUAUAAUAGGAAGAUAUCCUAUUACAAUAAAUCAGUCCUCUAAUUCCUAUAAUUUAGGCUACAAACUAGCCUACAUUUGUUAGCUAUCUAAUCCCUACAAAUCAGCCUAUAUCAAUCUGUGACAGCUAUCUAAUCCCUACAAAUCAGCCUGCAUAUAAUCUGUAACAUCUAAUCCCUACAAAUCAUCCUGCAUAUAAUUUGUAACACUCCCCCUCAAGUUGGAGCAUAGAUAUUAAUCAUGGCCAGCUUGUUACAUAGAUAAUCAAUCCGGACCCCGUUAAGAGCUUUUGUGAAUAUAUCACCUAAUUGUUCUCCAGUCUUCACAUAACCUGUAGUGAUCAAACCUUGUUGGAUCUUUUCACGAACGAAAUGACAAUCAAUCUCAAUGUGUUUCGUUCGUUCAUGAAAGACUGGAUUGGAAGCAAUGUGAAGUGCAGCUUGAUUAUCAGACCAUAGCUUGGCAGGUACUGAGACCUUAAUUCCUACUUCACUAAGGAGCUGAUAUACCCAUAUGACUUCACACACAGACUUGGCCAUAGCUCUAUAUUCAGCUUCCGCACUGGAUCGUGAGACGACAUUCUGUUUCUUACUCUUCCAUGAGACCAAAUUUCCCCCAACAAAAACACAAUAUCCUGAAGUAGAUCUCCUAUCUUCCUUACACCCUGCCCAAUCUGAAUCUGAAAAACAUUCAAUCCUAGUAUGACCAUGAUUGCCAUAUAGGAUUCCACGUCCAGGAGCACAUUUUAAAUAGUGCAAAACUUGUUCGACUGCUUUCCAAUGGUCAACAGUUGGUGAGGACAUAUAUUGGCUUAACACACUCACUGAAUAAGCAAUAUCAGGACGUGUCACAGUAAGAUAAUUCAACUUUCCGAUUAGUCUUCUGUACCUCUCAGGAUCUGCACACAAUUCACCUUCUUUGGUUAAUUGUAAAUUAGGAACCAUUGGGGUACUACAUGGUUUAGCACCCAACUUUCCCGACUCCGACAGUAAAUCAAGUACAUACUUUCUCUGUGAUAGAAAGAUUCCCUUCUUACUCCUGCUAACUUCAACUCCCAAGAAAUACUUUAACAUCCCCAAGUCUUUGGUAUAGAACUGAGUAUGAAGAAAGGACUUUAGAGACGAAAUUCCGCUAGAGUCGCUACCUGUGAUUACAAUAUCAUCCACAUAUACAACUAACAGAAUAAUACCUCCAUUAGAGUGUCUAUAGAAAAUAGAAUGAUCUGACUUGCUUUUCUGCAUCCCAAAUUUCUCAAUAGCUUGGCUAAAUUUUCCAAACCAAGCCCGAGGACUCUGUUUCAAGCCAUAUAGAGAUUUUUGCAGAUGACAGACUUUCCCUUUCCCAUACCCCCCUUGAGCAACAAAACCAGGUGGUUGCUCCAUAUAUACCUCCUCCUGAAGAUCACCAUGAAGAAAGGCAUUCUUGAUGUCUAACUGAUGCAGAGGCCAGUCAUAAGCUGCAGCAAGGGAGAUAAACAACCUGACCGAAGCAAGUUUAGCAACAGGAGAAAAAGUAUCAUGAUAAUCCACCCCAUAAAUUUGAGCAUAUCCUUUAGCAACAAGUCGAGCUUUCAAUCGAGAAAUGGAGCCAUCAGAAUUCAUUUUGACAGUAAACACCCAUUUACAUCCAAUGGCUUGUUUACCUGCAGGUAAGGUAACCAAAGUCCAUGUACCAUUGACAUCUAGAGCAUUCAUUUCCUCAAUCAUAGCAGUCCGCCAUCCGGGAUGAGCUAAUGCCUCUCGAACAGUCUUAGGUACAGAAACAGUGUCUAGGGAUGUAAGAAAAGCACAAGAAGAGGAAGACAAAUGAUGGUAGGAAACAACUGAAGAGAUUGGAUAAGUACAUGCACGUUUACCUUUUCUGUGAGCAAUAGGGAGAUCAAGAUCAUCGUUGGCAGCCGGAUCUGAUGACAAAGAGACUGGUUCAUCAGGACAUGAUUCUGGAGACUCAAGGACCAAGUCAGAACUAGGCUGAUGUGCCCGACGUGAGUAGGUAUAGUUGAUGGGAGGCUUAACCGGUGUAGAAGGAGGCGGACCCGAAUUUGGUAUGACACUAUAGAUUAACAAAUCAUCAUCCUCCCCUGGACUCACAGAACUUGAAGAGCCUGAAGAUGAAGAUAAAGGUGUUUGUUCCAAAAAAGUAACAUCAGCAGACACAAGAUACUUACCAAGACUAGGACAAUAACAACGAUACCCUUUUUGCAUGCGAGAAUAACCCAGAAACAUACACUUUAAGGACUUAGGAUCAAGUUUUGUAAAUUGAGGACGAACAUCCCGAACAAAACAAGUACAACCGAAUAUCUUUGGUUCUAUAGGAAACAACUGUUUAUUUGGAAAUAGAGUGUGGAAAGGAGUAUUACCAGACAAAACAGAGGAAGGCAUACGAUUAAUUAGAAAACAAGCAGUAGAUAGAGCAUCAGCCCAGAAAUAUUUAGGAACCUUCAUUUGAAAUAACAAAGCUCGAGCAGUUUCAACAAGGUGUCUAUUCUUUCUCUCGGCAACCCCAUUUUGAGAAGGGGUGUCAACACAAGAGGUCUGAUGAAGAAUACCCUGCUCAAGCAUGUAUUUCUGAAAACUGCUUGAAACAUAUUCUUUUGCAUUAUCACUUCGUAAAAUUUGUACAGGUUUACCAAAUUGGGUUCGAAUUUCAGCACAAAAGGAAGAAAAGUGAAGAAAUAGUUCUGAGCGACUUUGCAUCAAAUAAAGCCAUGUCAUUCUAGAAUAAUCAUCCACAAAGGUAACAAAAUAUCUGAAACCAGUUUUAGAGGUAACUGGACAAUGAUCCCAAACAUCAGAAUGUACUAACUCGAAGGGAGCAGUAGUUCGCUUAUUGAUUCUAGGACUAGAACUAAGACGAUGAUGUUUAGCAAACUGACAAGACUCACAAUCUAAUGAAGUAAUGUUUGAAAACUGAGGACAAAGUUUCUUCAACAUAGAAAGCGAAGGAUGACCCAAUCGACAAUGUGCUUCAAAAGGAGAGAUUGUUCCAGCACAAGCUAUAGACCCUGGUUUCGGUGUAUCAAGAAUGUAGAGACCGUCAGACUCAUGUCCCUCACCAAUAAUCUUCUUCGUCAUGAGAUCCUGAAAUGAACAAUAACCAGGAAAAAAUGAGACACAACAAUUAAGAGCACGAGUAAGUUUGCUGACAGAAAUCAGAUUAAAAGAUAGUUGUGGUAGACUCAGAACAGAUGAUAAAUGGAGGGAUGAUGUGGGCUUAGUGGUUCCAGACCCAAUAACACUGGAUGUUGAACCAUCGGCUAAAGUGACAGGAGUGAUAGAUUUAUGUGGCUGAAAGUUAGAAAGUAAACUAGGAUUACCUGUCAUGUGAUCAGUAGCACCAGAAUCAAUGACCCAUUUUGGAGAAGAGGAAACAAGACAUGCAUUGGGUUUACCUGUCUCGACAGGAGCAGUAACAUGACCGGAUGGCUGUUUCACUGUUUCUUGAAACUGAGUCAAUCUAGCAUACUCAUCCGCAGAUAUUGUAACAUGCUUGUCAGAGGUCGCACAACUAGAUGCAAUAUGGGCAGAGUGAGCCUUCUUAUACUGCAGCUUCCGACAGUCUCGCUUGAUAUGACCUGGUUUAUGACAGUAGUGACAUACAAUUUCUCCUUGCUCCUGUCCAUGAUUGCUAGUAUUCUUAUCAGAGUGGUUGGGCCCCGACCCCAUGCUCUUACUGUUGCCAUUACUCUUGUAGUGUUGUCUUCCUGAAUCAGCUGUGGUAGUUCGGCUAAGAAGAACACUGUUAGGCUGAGUAGAUAGAACAGGUAACGUAUUCUCUGUACGGAGAACCCUUCGAAAAGCAUCUUCUAGACUGGAAAUUUCUGAACCGGAAAGAAUUUGAGAUUUAGCAGUCUCAAAUUCAGACGGAAGACCGGCUAGAAAACUCAUAACCGCCAUCUUCUCUCGCUGAUUUCGUUGUUCCUCCACAUCACAACUGAAGGGAAGCAGCAUAUUGAGCUCUUCAUAUGUUUUCUUGAAGUCCAUAAAAUAACUGGUGAGAGACUUGUCUUCUUUAUCUGCCCUGUAAAAAUCCUUGCAAACAUCAUAGAUACGAGAGAAAUUUCCUUUUCCAGAAUAUAAGAACUGUAAAUAGUUCAUUAAUUGUUUUACUGUCUUACAAUGAGUAACCAGACCAACCACCUCACUAUCAAUAGAAUUACGGAUCUGUAUAUACAAGCGAGCAUCCUCUCUCAUCCAAGACAAUUUAGAGGCAUCCAUAGGUGGAUCAUCAGUCAGAUGGCCAUCCAUAGAAAUACUGAGCAGAUAUAAUUCAAUAGUAUUGUUCCAAUCAAGAAAAUUAAUUCCAUUUAACUUAUGUUCCGUGAUUUUUGAAACCAGCGGAACUAUAUCAGAAACAACUCCAGGCUUUUUGUCAGACAUAAUUGCUAAGAAAAUUCAACAAGAUAACAGAUUAUCCACAAGAAAAACCUAUUGUAGCCAAGUCCCACACCUAGAUCGAUGUUGACCCACAAACAGGUAUGCAAAUAGCAUCGAGAGACAGAAGAGAGGUGCUGGGUUCUGACCAAUCGGUACUACGUACCUCCCUGAGUUGGCGGUGUCUAUAAAGGAACCUCUAAAGCCUGUACCUUGAAUAUGGCAGCAGCUUCCCUCACACCCAACAACCCAGAAAAAAAAUUUAUGAACAAACCUUGCUCUGAUACCAUGUGAAUUUCAGAGGAAGAGAAUAAAUUCCCCAUAUUUUUAUUCAUCAAUCGUAAGGGUAUAUAUACAGGUAUAGACAUCCUAUAAUAGGAAGAUAUCCUAUUACAAUAAAUCAGUCCUCUAAUUCCUAUAAUUUAGGCUACAAACUAGCCUACAUUUGUUAGCUAUCUAAUCCCUACAAAUCACCCUAUAUCAAUAUGUGACAGCUAUCUAAUCCCUACAAAUCAGCCUGCAUAUAAUCUGUAACAUCUAAUCCCUACAAAUCAUCCUGCAUAUAAUCUGUAACAAUGGUCAUUUUGUUGAAUUUCAGUAUUAAGAUAGUCAAAAAUACAUUACACUUAGAUUUUUAAAAGCAAAAAUAUUACACAAACUUUAGCACAUACUUAAAAAAGAUCAAGGGCAUUUUUAGUUUUCAAACUUUGCUAAUUCUUUUCAAAUAUGGAUCAAAAUUCCAAAGCAUUAUCAAAAGUUACAAUCAUAAUUUAGAGAGAAUUCGUAAAGUUUGAAAACUGAGAAGGUCCUCAGUCUUUUUCUCAAUGCAUGUGAAAGAUUGUGAGACAUUUUUGUCUUUGAAAACCUAAGCAUAUUACACGUGUGAUUGCACUUCCAAGUAUCUUAACACAAGAAUUCAAUGGAAUGACCAAAAGGAGUACACUUUUACGAGUAUGGGGACUUUUUCGACAAGAGAGAGUUUGGUGACCAAACGGUCAAUCUUAAAUAGUUUGGUUUUUUCAUCAGAUGACAACAUCUAACCUAAGUCUACUUCUACUCCUACUCCUACUCUACCCUACACUAGGGGGAGGCCCAAUGAGAUCUAGAGAAACCGAUGGGGACUGAAUUGUGAGGAAUCAUGUUUUAUUUUUUUAAAAUAGUUAUUUUAUAAUUAUUUACCCUAGUAUUAGUUAAUUAUAUUUUAGUUGCAAGAAUUUCUUUUAAAUUUCGCUUUAUCACGCGCAAGUUGAAAGUUCGCGUAUUUCGCAUCGAAACGACUAAGUGGAGAUUUGAGAAAUUUAUAUUAGACUAGUAAGAGUGAGUAAUUACAAUGUUAAAGGAAUUAUAUUGGAGGAUUAGUGCACUAGUACAACAAAUCCGAGAGAAAACGGUGGUACAAAACCCGCGCACUACAACUAUUCAAAGUUGAAUUUUGCUCCUAACUUAAAGUAACUUUCCAUCAAUUUUCCCUCACAAGCUAAACACACAAAACCCUUCUCUCUCUCUCAUCUUGCUCGGCCGAACACACCCAAGGAGGAAGGAGGAAGAAACUCCAUUGUUCUAGCUUCAUUUCACCCACAAAACUUCCACCAAAUCGCAAACUACUUGGAGUAACACUUCAUCUUGGAGCAAGGAGAAAUCGUGUGGUUUUUCUUGAAGAAUUGUUGGCGGAAAAAUCUGGUUUCAUCAAGGGUUUAGGAAGUAACCUUCAUCUCCUUUAAUCUUUCCAAUUUCUUCAAGAUUGAAAGUUAGUUUGCAUGAGUUUACAACCCUAAGCAAGAUAAUAGGUUAGAGGACUUGAGGAAACCAUUUACUUUGAUUUAAUCUCUAGGCUAGCAGUCUUUAGGAGGAUUGUAGGUAGCUGCCUUCAGGAUAUGUUGCUUGGUUAAUGUUGUUUGUGUGAUGAAUGAAAGGAUUACGGUUAGAAAAUGGAGAGAAAGUUGGAAAAUUUUGGUUAGUGUGCUGGCUGAAAAUUCUGUCCAUGUUGUUCAGUGGUUAUUUCGAAAUUUUGAUGCUUGGAUGACUGUGAAAUUGAUGGAUAUUUGUUGUAUAUUGUGUGUGCAAAGUUCCUUUCAAAAAUAGUUUCACUUGGUUGCCUAAAACUUGAGUUUUGGUAAGAUUCAAAUCUGAAAAAUUGCAUAGCAGAAUACUCAGACAGUGCUCCUUUAUCCGAACAUAACUUCUUGUACAAAAGUCGAAAUUGAGUGCUGUUUGUGGCAUUCAAAAUUAGACAUUCAUAGCUUUCAAACGGUAUAAAAAUCUCCUGCUAGUUCAUUUUGAGUGAACUGUAGUGAGUCGGCAAAAUUGGCUAUUCUGUUUUGAUUGUUUAUACAAAUGAAACUGGAAGCUAUGUUUUGUGGCUUGAUUUUGUCCCACUUGUGAAAAGAUUUUGAUGAGAACAUUAGAUUUCUUCUCAAAUGGUCCUUGGAGAAUCAGGUUCGUAUCAGAUUUUCAAAAUGACGCCUUCUGAUAAAUUGUAGCCUUUGGAACUUAGUUUCCAACGCCACCAACCAUUUGCAAUUUGACUUUGUAUGGAGUUAGAUAUGGCUUGAUUUUGAAAAUGUGACAAAGCUAGAAACUGGAAAUUUUUCCCUUUCUUGUUGGCCGAGUGGUCAAAUCUAUUUUGGGAUGUUAUACCUCAAAAAUUUUCAUGUCAAUUGCUUGUCAAUUACUUAUUAAAUGUUUUGGAACCUUGGUUUCAAAAAUGGAGUGAAUUGAGGUUGAUUUCAUUGGACAAAACCUUUGGAAAGAAAGAAAGAGUGGGUUGGCAGAUUUGCUUUGAAAAUUUCACAAAUUUUGGUCAUUUUGUUAACUGCCUUCUCGUGUAAGUUUUUACCUAAAUCUUGGUAGAGAAGUAGUUCAUAUAUGGAAGUUUAAGUGUACCAAAUUUGAUGUAAUUUCAAUAUCAUUUCGAUAUCCGAAUGAUGUCCCAAAGAUUGCUUUUCAAAUCUGAAAAUUUACCGAUCAGUUUGCAAGAUUCAGCUGACUUUGAACUGUUAUAUCUUGAUGCUCCGAAUUUAGUUCCAUUUGUCGUGUUUGAAACCUUGUUUGGAACUCUUAUUGUGUUACGAAUUUCAAGGGCUGAUUCACUUUCUGUGAAUUUUACUGAAUUUCCAAAGAUUGCUGAAAAACCAAGACUGGUUCAAACCUGUCUUCUUGGAAUUGAAACUUUGAGCUGAAAAAUGAACGCUUUCUAUUUGUAACCAUGAAAAAGUGUCUUCUAGGACUUUUAUUGCUUCGAACCUAGUUUCUGAUGGUAUAAAGUUUUCCAUUUUUGGACAUGCUAAACUCAAGAUCUGAUUUUCCAAAGAUUGUCGCGCAAAACGGAAAUUUUCCGAAUUCUUAAGAAAUGAGUUUUUGAGAACUUGUCACUCUCUCUCGAUAUCGAUAGACCAUUUUAAACUCGAUUUCAUGGAAGAGGCAAGUCUCUCUUGGGACUUUAAACCCUCACUUUUGAACCUCGAUUUUCGAGAGAUUUAAAGUUCUCUUUCAUGACAUUGUCUUAGUGUUGCACAAGUGUACAUUCUUCCUUAUUGGCAAGGGGUUUGUUAGUAUUUGUGAGUGAUAGUCAGUUAUUAUUUCUUCAGGUGCUCAAGAGGAUCUUCAAGAGAAUCUCGGAGCGGACGCCUAAAAGCUUAUUUGCUCACUUACUCACUUUUUGACUUGGUGAGUGUCAAGUGCAUGAUGUAUUGUGGAAUACGUGAAUUACUUCUUGUUAAUCAUGUGAAUUAGAAUUGCCGAGACGAGUGUGUAUUUUAUCGUACUCGUUCUUUUUAAGUGAAAUUAUGAUCGAAUUUCGCUAUGUGAAUUGAUAUUCGACUUGUGUGAAGUGAUGUGGUUGUGAAUCGUAUUUGUGAUUGUCGAUUGGAGCGUUGUCUCGUCGACUUAUAUUCGUAUUUGGGGGACGCCCAAACUCAUAGGCUAACCUUAUGACUCGAGCCGGCAUGGGCUUGGUCGAGAAAUUUGGUGAACCAUGAGAAAAUUCGUAAAGUUUGAUCUAUUUGAAAGAUCUCGCUUGGCAUACUCGAGUAGUAUCGCCUUUCUAAAUGAUGAGCGGGUCCGGAACAGGGGGUGUAACAGUGAAUGGGAUUCACGAAGUAAGUAGUGUUCUACGGACUAAAUAUACCUACCCGAUUGACGGAGUGUUAUCACAUGGAGGUAUAUGAUCGAGAUUCGGCAAAACAAGUGGAAUCUAGCUCCUGAGAGCUCCUGUAUCCUUAUUGAGUGUGUUUUACUUUAAAUUGUGAAUUACUUGAACGUUAUAACUUUAUUUCUCGUGUAAGUACUAUUGCUACUUGAACUAUGUGUUUGCAUGAUUUUCUUGGCCUCACUGAACGUUAACUCAUCCCAUUAGUUUUGUUUUCCUUAACAGGUGCCGAAAUGGAAAGAAUUAUGGAGAAGCCGACUUGAUGGUCUUUUAAUUAGAAUUUUGAAUGUAAUUGGUUAGACAACUUUUGGAGAUUGUAUAUUUUGGGGAAUGUUGAUGUACUUUUGGUAACUUGUGAUGUAAGAUUUGAGUGUUUAUUAAGGAAGUGACCUUCUUUAUAUUUUUUACUUUUAGUAUUAAUUGAUUAUCCAUAAGUUGAAUUCGUCUCGUAGCGAGUCCUAGCGAGAGCUAGGCAAGCGUCUCGCCGAUACCCUUGGGUUCGCCCUAGGGAGAAGUGGGAGCGUCACAUGAAUUACUAUCGGACCAAAUAGGUGAACUAUGAAUCCAUAUGGAUUUAGAAGAAACCAUUUAUAGUGGUACAUUAGGCUGUUGGUCACCAUCAAAAACUUUAAAUCUUGGUGGGAUAGUAGGUCAAUCUUAAAUAGUUGAGUUAUAUUUUUUGCCAUUCACUCUAUCAAAAAACACUAGGUCCGUUUGGAUUGGUUUUAUUUGAGUUAUUAUUUUGGAAAAAAAAUUUACCAAUAAUUUUUUACCCCAAUUAAGUCAGUUAACUUAUCUUGAGAAGUUAAACUUGCAGCAAAAUUCUCAAAGCUUGUUUGGAAUGCUAACAGAAUAUAAAACAACUUAUUGGAGCAAACAUACAUCACAUGGGACCUAUAAAUGUCAACACGUCUUAUAAGCACACAUCAACUAGACAAGUCAUUUCACUAUCCCUUCGGCUGGUUUCUAAAAACGUAGUAAAAGUAACAAUAACAUGAACUCCAUGCAACGUACAACUAAAUUUUUUUUUUUCUAUUCCAUGCAUUUUUAAUUUCAAUAAAACUAGCAAAUACAUCACAAUCGAAUAAUUUUCAUCCUAUCAGUUGUUACAUUCAUUUAUAGAUGCAAGAUCGAACCCUUAAACAACAAACUGACAAGUAAGCUUAAUUGAAGCAAAUCGAGAAACUAUUGAUGAAUAGUUUCUGCAUAUUAUAUUGUCUUUUUGAAGUAUUCAUGUGUUGCAGCCUUUUAGAAAUUAUUGAAUGCAAGCACCUGUUGAAUAAUUCAUGAAUAGUGUCCCCAUAAUCAAAUGCAUUUUCUUGUGGCUAAUUUCUGCUACCAAUAAACCACCACCAUUUCUAUGGUUUCAUCAUUUAUCAGUCUUGGCCAUUUUAUUCAAAUAGCAUAGAACAACAACAAUAGUUUGAUGAGUAGCCAAUUGCAUGCUAAUAAAUAGAUCAAAUUCCUUUCCCGUCAAUAAUUUACCCAAGCCCAUAGCUAAUCUUUCCAAAAUGGUGAUCCAAACAUUGCAGGUCAUCACAAAAAAGAAGGAUAAAAAAAUCAUAUGAAAGAAAGCAAUAAAGGAACUGGUAACUUUUUUUGCUUUUCAUCCACAUAACACACCAACGGUUACCUUUGCAUUUGUUAGCGGAAGUGGUAAGGAAUUUGAAAAAGUGGGUGGGCCCUUAGGAGAUGAAUAAUAGUUCGAAAUUUAAUUCAUGAUACUAAUUAUAGAUUAUGUGUCCACAUCACAUCCAAAUACCAUUCCAAGAUAACUUAUUUUAAAACCAAAUAUAACAAAUAAAACCAUAUAUCCAAACAAACCCAUUGGCUCCAAUCACUAGUUGGAGACUUCUAGUCUUAAGAAUCUUCUUCACUUUCUACAACAAAUUUAAAUGGAAAGAAAGGAACUAAAUAUAUCAUCUACGUCAAAAGUUACGCCGUCACAUCACCAUGUAGUUACAUGACUAGUUACAUUUCUUAAGCAACUAUUCAUGUAUGUAUGUGAUGGCACUGAUUCUAAAUGCCGUCAUAUCACCAUGUCAAACUGGUUGAUUUUGUCAUAAUUCUAAUAACUCAAGGUAUGCAUGUGCAAGAUCAAGGGCGUUUAGAAUUAAUAGUGGCAAUUGCAUGGUACACUAUAGAAGUAAACACUAACAGCAAAUAUAAACACUAUAAUAAUAAAUAUAGACACUAGAAAAACGACAAGUAAAAGCACAAUAAAUCUUCUAUUUCAUUAAAAUUUAUGUCCACAAAAAUUGUUACAUGUUGUUAUGUUGUGUAUAUGUUUGUUGUUCUAACGUCUAUAUUUGUUGUACUAGCAUUAAAACCAUAUGAUACAAUUGCCACUAACAAUUGCAAAGACUCUAGUCUGAGGAGGCACCAGCUUUAGACCACUUCCCAACUAUAGCUAAAAUUUAUGCAUGAGAGUCAAAGUAACAUCAUUGAACCGGUUCACAAUGAGAUCAUUAUAUGUAUGAUGGAGUCUACAUCAUAAGCAUAGCGCCCAAGUACUGAUAUUUAGACAUAAUAGGGAAUUUACUUAAAUAGCUGUUGAAAAGUUUUUGAAAGUAAAGUUCAGAAAGCAAGGUUGAAAACAUCGAAGAUGACAAAAAGUCGAGUACUUCAUCUAAAUAAAGAAAGCAUUGGUUUCAUAAAACUAUUCGUUAGAAAUUUAUAACCCAAAUUUAAAAGCAUUACUUUUUUUUGGAAAAUUAUAACAUCCUUUUGUAGUUGUUGAAGAUGGCACAACACUUAUUCAACCCAACUGGAUUAAUCUAAACCUCAAAAUUGGGAACAAGAGAGUUAUCAAAGCUAAAACAAUCUCUAUACUUUCCAUUUUUUUCUAUCGAAAACCACACUAAUUAUUGUCAUUUAACAAUUUUUGCAUUUUCUUGUGACAAAAUGGUCUAAAGAUCCUUGCCAUGUGCAACCCAACUAAGAUUAAUCUAAUUUCUAUUAAUAGAGUGAAUGAAAACUAUAGAAAAUAUCAUAAACAACAUAUUAGGUAUUUUUUUAGCAAAUAAACAUUUAAACAUAUAAUUUUAAUAUUAAACAAAGAUAUCGCACAUCUGAAAAUGAAAUUAGUAAAUUUUAAGGCCCAAAUAUCAUAUUAGUAAACAUUUCACCAUAUUAAUUUUAAUAUUAAACAAAUACAUCACACAUCUAAAAAUGAAAUUAGUAAUUUUUAUGACCCAAAUAUCAUAUUCAAAAUUUGGCAAAGAGAAAGUGUGAUUCCCCAUUAGAUAACAAUUGAUAAGUGUCAUAUUUUGUGUUGCAUAUGUGUUUUAUUCCAUUUAUCAAGUGAAUAUGUGUGAAAGUUGUUCAUUUUAGGGUUUUUUCUUAAAGUUUUGUGGUUUAAGCAUGGUUUGAGGUUAAAAUGCAAAAACAAUAGUACUAAAUGGUAUUUUAUGUUUGUUUCGAUACGUUUUGGAAUAGUGUGAGAAUGUCUUUAAAGAGGUGUUAAAGGAAUGUUUUCGCAUGCCGAAAGAAAUUUAGGAAGCUUGGUGCAAGAAGGAAAUCAACUUGAAACUACUUUAAAGAAGUUUAAAAAGUUAGUUUUCAAAUGCAAUUUAGACACUGGUUUGACAUUAUGUUGGCUAUAACCUAAACUACAUAGGUUAGACUAAGAUGACUCUUAAUGUGAUUCAAAACCAGGACCAAGGGCUACAGAGGUCAAAUUAAGAUGAUUCUUAAUGUGAUUUAAAGUUAUGACCAGGUUCUACAAUUCUUAUUAAAUGUUCAAGUCAAGUUCUAUCUUUUUGCUCUCUAUGAGUCUGAAUUACUGAAAUGAUUUCCUUGUACUGUGUUUUUGAAAAACUUUCAAAAUUGUAUUCUAACUGAUGGGUGAUAUUUUGAGCAUAACUCUACAUAGGCGUCUAAAUAAUCUAAUUCUUAAUCCAUUGGAAAGGUCAAAUGGAUUUUGUCAAAGCAAAUUUUGACGGGCCCAUUUUUCCAUCAGAAGGCUUCUCAGGUAUUGGGGUGGUGGUACGUGAUGGCACAGGCGAUUUCAUAGCUGGAUUGUCUAAGAAGAUUCCUAGUGUUUUAGCCUUGGAUGUCAUCGAAACUUAUGUGGCGAUAUUUGCAACUAAAUUGCUGGUUGAAUUAGGCUAUAGUCACGUUGCUCUUGAGGGUGACAAUCUAAAGAUUAAAAAAGUGCUUCAGCAAUAUGACUCUGAUGAUUCAACAUGUGGCAUAUUGAUUGAUGAUGUCUUGCAACUUCUAUAAAAUUUCACCAAGUGGGAAGCCAUAUGGAUACCAUGUUCUUUGAAUGGUACAGCCCGUAGCUUUGCUAGGAAUGCUUGUACUAUCAUGGAUGACUAUUUGUGGAAACAUUCACCUCCAUCUUUUGUAUUAUCCGCACUUCAAGCGGACCUUAUUCCAUCUUAAUAAAACUUUAUGCCUUUCUAUAAAAAAAUCCAUUGGAAAGCCAAUUGAAUUGAAUGCAAAUUUUCUAUUUUGUCCCAAAGCUGAUUUGAUGUCCUUGAUAGAGAUAUGUUCGCCUCAAAUUGAGGGUUGAACUAUCCAAAUCCUAUCCUGAUUGGACUUCCAAUUCCCAAUCAGUUUUCAAUUCUUUCUAUCUAUAAAAGGGACUUGUAUGAACAAAUUUGAGCCGAUUAGCAUAUUUAGGAGUAUUUUAAAAGUUGGUUUUAUCAUAAAACACUUCUACAUUUAUUAUUUUUCAAUUGUACUUGGAUUAUUGCAAUGAGUAAGAAAGGGGAUCUUCAUCAAUCUUGGCUAAGGCUUUCUACCCUUCUUCCUACUUUCAUAAUAUUAAUGAUAUUCAUGGACUUUUUUUGCCAAAAUAACACUGUAGACACCAAAUUUUUGGUGUAAUUUCUUUUACUUUUUAUUCUCAUUUGUCGUGGUUACUUUUAGUUUUUUUAGUUUCUAGUUUCUAUUUUAAUUUUUAAGUUUUAACGUAGAAAAAUCAUGGAAAAAGAGAAAAAAAGGAAAAUUGUUCACAAAAAUACGUUCAAAUUUAAUUUUUUGGCAUUUUGGUUAAUUUAUUUUGAAAAAAAAAAAAAAAGAAAAAAUGAUGAGAAAUGAUGAAAAAUGAAAGAAAAGAUCGAAAAUGGUAAUUUUGUUAUUUUUAGUUUGUUUAUUUUGAUGUGUUUGUAAUUAAAAUUGUUGUUUUUAUUAUUAUUUAGUUUUACUAUUAUUUUUGUUAAAUAAUUAAGGUGAAAAAAAAAUAAAAUAAAAUAAAAAAAAAACAACAUUCUCCACUUCACCAUUCUUCAGAAGAAAACCGCGACUCCAACCUCCUCAAUACCGCACACCAUUUCCAUUUACUCUCUACACCAUCAUUCCCCAAAACCACAACCCCAUUUACCCACCUUGUAAUCAUCGACCGAGGGGAAGGAGAGAGAGCUGCACUUACAGCCGAGAGGAAGGAAAGGUAACUGCGAGCUCUUCGUUUCUGUUCUGUCCGUGAGCUGAGGGGAGAGAAUCGGACACCACUCUGCACUUCCAAGACCUCCACCAGCUGAGCUCAACCACACCCACCAACUUCACAGCUAGCCUACGCAAACCAAACUCAGCCAGCCAUACUUUACUUCCAUAGCCAGCCGAGAGGAAAAUGUUGCAGCAAACCAUCGUGUGAGCUGAGCUCUUAACUGGGGCCACUCAUUUCCAUUCCACUACCUCAGCUCACAACAACAUUUCCCUGCCUUGGUAUCAUCGACAAGGGGAACCAGAGAGAGAGCCAUGCGAGUUGUGAGCUGCAACUUCCCUGUUCUGUCCGAGAGUGCGAGAGAGAGGGAGAGGCCGAACUGCAAUUUCUUUUGCUGUCUCUGUUCUGCCGUAAGCUGAGGGAAGAGACCAGGGAACCAUCACCUUCUUCGUCAACCCCAGACCAACAACCACCAACUGCAACCUCAACCAAGCUGCACUUCACCAUUUCCAGCCGCAACUCAUCAAACCAGAACCAGCAAACCCCGCGGAAGAAGAGAGCCGAGAGGGAGAAAAUUUUCAGACUUUCUGUGCAAGAGCUUAGCUUGCUGUGAGGUAAUUUCUGGACUUUUUAGGUUGAUUACUAGUGGAGGAAACUAUAUGCGAGUUGCAUGUGAGGCUUGUACAGUCGGUGGAUAGAAAUCAAGCCAUUAGGAAAUUUCUGCUUUGGCUAAGUGUGCUGCCGAGAAACUGAUGAGAGAAUGCAGCUGUAUUUCUGUUUUUCUAGGACAAUCUGAGUACCUAAGUGUACUUAGCCGAAUGAAAUUGUGAUGAUUAAAACCAUGCAUGUUAAAUUGUGCAUUCGGAUGAUGUUAUGAAGCAUGCAGAAAUUCUGUUUUGGCUAAAUGUCUCUGCCGAUGAACUAAUUUGGGACAUGUAAUUUUAAUUCUGACUCCAUGUGAUAAUCUGAGCUUAAUUGAGGAUCCAAUUUGAUAGAUAAUCUUUUUAUUUGGUGUUGCAUGUGAACCUUAUGGCCAGGAAUCUGAUUGCAUGGCUGGAUUUUUUUUUUAUUAGAAGUUGUUGGACUGCUAAACACUUUUCCCGCUUAGCCGAUGGAGUUGUUUUGGGAGUUGUAUGGGUAUUUUAGAAUGAGAUUUGCUGGAAAGUGUUUGAUUCUCACUUGGUUGUGUGUUUAGCUAAUUAAAUGCUGGAUGAUUAAGCCCUGCAUGAGAUGAUUUAGCUGUGUGUAAACCAGAAAUUUGAAUGAAACCAAAAAUCUGCUGCAUGCAUGUCAUCCGUAAAUAGUUGAGCAAAUUCUGGAAUUUUGGAUGAAUGUUGUUGGUGACCGACCCUGCUUUGGACUAGAAUUGAUAGUAACUUCAUUUAUUAGUCAUGCAUGAUAGCUUUGAGUACAUAAUUCAGUGAUUUGGCCAAAAUUGUUGACACAUAGUUGCUGGAAAUGUUUCAAUUUAUCCGAGGGAGGGAGAAAGAAUUUUUCCAGUUUAGACGUGAGCUUUCAUAAUUGUUCCCUUGCUGCACUUUCAUUUAGCCGUGGUUUCCUUUGGUCAUUCCUUUGCUGCACUUUUCAUUUAGCCAUGAGUUGCACAUCUUAGUUCCUUAGCCGCAUUUUUCAUCUAGCCAUGAGUUGCACAUCUUAGUUCCUUAGCUGCACUUUUCAUUUAGCCGUGAGUUAUCAUUUUGUUUCCUUCGCUGCAUUUUUCAUAAACCCAUAAGCUUGAUGAGCUUUAUAUGUGCGAGGUUCAUGUGAAGGGAGUUGCGACAUAGCAACAGAAAUUUUCGUCGUAGAUGGUUUUCUUUCUUUUGCUGCAGUUCAUCUUCAUAAUUUGCUGUUUUCCUAGAUUCUCGCAACAAUACAUAAGCUGGUUUGCUCAUUUCUUUUCGCUAGCUGAAUUAGGUGUAGAAAGGGGUGGUGUUUGAUUGGUUUUGAAGUUGUAUGCUCGGCUCUAAACAUUGUGAACCCCUUUUUAAACAUUGCUGGAUUUUUGAUGAGAUUAGAAAUGUUGAAUCUUCUUGGCAUAAAAUUUCCUAGCACUUGCAUGUUUGUUCCUGAUAUGUUUUGGUUUGUUUGGGGAAUCAAGUUGGGAGUUAUGUUGUUUGACUCAAAGUGGGGAUGUUGCUAGAUAAAAUUUGUCCAAGCUUGGCGUUAGUUUUGCCAAAAUCUGUUUGAAAAAAAAUGAAAAUGCACCAGUCUUUGAGUGGGUUUUUGUAACAAAAGUGCAGCAGUUUUUUUGGUUUUGUAAACUUGCAAGAAAUUACUUUGAUUAAGUAUUGUUUAAGCAUGCUUUAAUUAGAGUUAGUUUAACGCUUUGUUAGCUAAAGAUUCAUAGAUGAAUUUGUGGAUAAGCUAGCUUAGCCUACCAAGAUUUUCUUGUUGCUGCCGAAACUUCCUUGUUGUUUUGCCGAAAGUUUCUUGUUUGUUGCAGAAAAUUUUGUUCCUCACGUAUGCAUGCAUGUCAAUAUUUCUGAAUUUAACACUUUGACCCCCCAAGUCCCCUCUUGACUCACUAGGGCCCAAGUAAUUGGAACAUUUAAUCAAUUUGAUCCUUCUAAGUUUCUUUUUGUUCCACAAGAGCCCAAGCAUGUUCUAGUAUCUUGUAAUUAAGUCCUAAAAUCAUUGCAACUUCAAUCAUUGUUUGACUUUUCCUUUAUUUUUAAGAUCUUUGAAGUGCUUAAACGAUUUAUUUGGACUUGAAUGUUUGAGUAAUGCUUGUUUUGGGUCUUUAGUAGAUGCUAUAUUUGGAAAUUGAACGGGUUAUUCCGUUUUCUUGGUCUUUAAGCAUUUUUUGAGCUCAUUCAAGUUGCAAUUAGGUGGGUUUUGAUGUUUUUGCUUAUACUUUACUUUUAAAUUGAUGCCUUGACCCCUUUAUUGUUUUGAAGCCAUUUUCCUUCAUUUGCUUAUCAUUAGGGGAAGGUAUAACUUUCUUUUAUCCUCUUUACUUCUCUCUUACGUGCUCCUACGUGUUACGUGAAUAUGCAUGUCUACUUUGCUUUCUUAAUUCCUUGCAUUUAUUUCGUUUACUUUUACUUUUAUUUAAAUUAUUCAUUAUGGGGUAUGUGUACACCUCUUGGCUUGUAAUAGAUAGGGCAUUGGAGAGCACUUUGUCCAUUUUUCCCCCUUCCCCCAUUUGUUUUAGUUAGCCCAUGUAAUAGUUUCAUUUGCUUUUGGGGUAUUAUUUGGUUUGCUAUGUGUUUAAUUUGCUUUAUUAAGCUAUUGCAUUUAGUCGAGCAUGCUAAGUGUUAUGUGCUACGUGUUAUAAGUGAUUUUGCAUGUCUACUUGCUUUCUAUAUUUAUAAAUGAAUGUGAUGGAUGAAUGUACGUUUCCGCUAGUCCAACGCUAGUCGGAAUUCAUAGAAUGGGCUAGUCCAACGCUAGACCCUUAGGGAUUUCCCCUUGUUAGUACAUAUUUGCAUGUUCAUUACAUGUCAUGCAUUCUUUUUAGUUUUAUCAUUUUUUGCAGGCCCCCGACCCCCUUUCCCCUCACUUUAGGUCUUGCAUCUCAUGCUAGUUAGGGUACAUUUGCCUGAAGGACCCCCUUGGGUAAGGGAAACGAGCGAGUGUGGCUUCAAAAUAGCCUUAGCACGCUAGUUUUUCCUUCUAAUCAAAGGAAAAUUAAAAUCACAAAAACUAGAGGUCAUUCCCGUACCCGACCUGAUGCAUUCCUCUAAGUUCAUGCAUUUUCAUAUCAUUUUCUCACUAUUUUCCUCACUAAUUAUAUAUUUUAAAUCCACAUGUCAUAUUCACACACUUAUUCAUUUUCUUUACUUUUCACUUCACACAUUGCACCUAUUUUACUUAUAUAUUUACUAUUUUCAUUCACUUGCACACGAGCAUUUAUAUUUUUAUUCAUUUGCACACAAACACUUUCAAAUUGCACACAUGCACUUUUUUCUACACUUUGCACACUUACACUCUCAUUUGAGUCCUCAUUUGCAUCAUUCAUGAUUUUCUAUGAGGACUUUCCUUGUUGGCCGUCACGACUCGUGUGAAUGGGACCAAAAGCCUCAUAAGAAACAUUUCUUAGAUUUAGGAUUGCAUUUCUCAUUCAUUAGUCAAAUCCAAUUUGCAAUACAUACUUUGGGUAGAAAAUAUAGGAAAAUAAGGGUAAUCACGCAACUAGCCUUGGUUAGGUCGAAGGGGUGCCUUGGAUUUUUAUCCUUGCCUUCCCCUUCGUCAAAUGUGACUCCCGAACCUUUUUCUUUGUUUUACGUGGACUAGGAGUCGUUUAAAAAGGGUUUUCUUACUUUUUUCUUUAAAAAUUUCAUUUUUUGGGUGACUUGGUACACCCUAACUCUAUACCAAGUGGCGACUCCACUUUUCAUAUAAAAACCCUUUUUGAACUAUUUUUCUUGGGUCAAAUCGUCGCAUUUUCAAAAGUCCCAUUUAGACCCAUUUUUGUUUUUAUCAACAAAAUUCAUUUUUCCCAAAUCAAUAAAAUUCAACAAAAAAACAAUUAUUUUAUUUUUUCCAAAAAAAGUGGGGCGCGACAGUUGGCGACUCCACUGGGGACUUCCUAAGUGGGUCCAAGCAUUUGAUUUAGCCAUUCUUUUCCUUUUUUCUACCCUUUUUAUGUAUAGCAUUUGGAUAUUAGGAUUGCAUUUUCCCUUUCUAGGACUUUUUGCCACGUACGCGCAUAUCAAACUACUCCCUCACUCAUGUAUGUAUGAUUGGAUGAUUGGAUGUAUGAUUGUACUUGCUUUAUCUCGCGCUUUGCAUUUGCAUUUUGGGGGGGGGGUGUGUCACCCUUAGAGCCACGCGUUGGUUCUCGAUCCCUCCCCUCCAAAACGUAUACUAUCAUACGCGCAUACGCUUUAUUAUUCAUCCCUCUUUAUUUUCUUUUUAGUGGCUUGUCACGCCACUCCACCCUAUUAGGAUUAGGAGACCCACUUGGACGUGUGAUCGUGACACGACGUGUGCGUAGCACGAUCCAAUGGGUCACUCAAUCUUCCGCUUUAAACUUUGGGUUGAUAGCCUUUAGUUUUUAGUCGAAGGUUGAGGGUUUUUUAUAGAUUCACUCAAACAUGCAGCCGUAACACGACGUGUGCGUAGCGGUGUUUGGGGAAUCGCUCGAGCCACCGACAAAGGGCCUUGGGAUUGAUGACCCUUGGCCACGAGUCUGAAGGCUUGGGGACCUGAGCUUAUCGAGUCUAGAUGCAUUAGUGAACCCCAACCGCAUGCAUCCAUAUAGUUCACCUAGGGUAGAGUCUGCCUUGCCCUAGUAGAGACACCAUUCACGAGGGGAGGGAUCCCACCCUUUUCCUUAUUUACUUUUCCUACUUUUUAUAUCAUUUAAUUGUCCAACGUGUUAUGUGAUUAUGUGUUGAACUAACUUUCCUUGUCUCUUGCCUUUGCAUUCACAAACGUUAGGAAAUAAGAGGUCGGGCAUGACCUUCUUUUAGGACAUACCCUUAUAGAUAGGCUAUUGCAUGUUUAAAAAUUGUGGUAUAUUUCGUUCAUAAAUUAAUAAUGCCAUACCAUUUUAGGCCUACCCUGGCAGAUAAAGGGUUCCUUAGGUCAUGUCUCAUUUCAAAUUGCAUAUCUUACUGCUUUUAAUAAACUGGCAUCACGCAUCCACCCUAGGAAGGGAAUGCCAUUUAGGGGAUCCCGUGUUUAGGAAUAAGCCACCAUAUGUCUCGGAUACUUAAUCCAAGGAGACUUGCACGUUUACAUUUUUUGUAUCAUCCAAAAGGGUAGUGCACAAGGUAAGGUAGGAUCCGAUCAUUUUCAUAGAGCGAUCUUUGGAAUAUGAGCGUCUAAUAAUCACCUUUUGGCCACUUUAUCAAAAUUGGUAAAAAUCCCUUGCGUAAAGGACAUUAAUUUGAAGAAACCCAAAUAAUUCUUCACUAUUGAGACGAUAAAUCAAUGGAGGCCAAAUCUUGAUUUUAGGAGGCUCAUAGACUAAGGCAUUGUAAUGAUUUCUUGAAACUACCCAAUGGGUAGAGAACUCAAUCGAUUUUUGAACAAAUCAUCCAUUUUAUCCAAUCCAUUUUUGUCAAUUCAUUCAAUUUUAGUUCAAUCUAAUCAUUUUUGAAUAAAUUCAUUUCAUCCAAUUCAUUUGACCAAUUUACCCUUUUUAGGGUCAUCCGGUCAAUUUUUGAAUAAAUCAAUUCAUUUGACCAAUUUACCCUUUUCAGGGUCAUCCGGUCGAUUUUUGAAUAAAUCAUCAAUUCAUUUGACCAAUUUACCCUUUUAGGGAUUUGGCCGAUUUUUAAAAUAAAUCAUUAACUCCAUUUCAUCUCUUUGGCCAAUUUACCCAUUUUUAGGGCGAAAUCAAGUUGAUUUUGAAGAGAUCAUCAAUUUCAUUCAAUUCAGUUGACCAAGUCUAUCUAUUCGAUCAAUUUUGAAUAAAUCGUCAAUGUUAUCCAGCUUACCUAUUUUUAGGUAAAUCGGUCGAUUUUGAAUAAAUCACCAAUUUUAUCCAUUUGACUCGCUUUUUCCCCUUUAGGGUUCAUUGAAUAAAUUAAUCGAGACAUGGCAAUCCCUUUCACAAAUCAUUUUAUGUGUAGAUCAAAGCAAGCAAUCCGUUCCGACUUCGUCCUCAUGUUUUAGGGCAAAUGUCUCUUCUCACUCCAAGUGGCCAAAUUUUUCAAAUCAUUCCUCACACGAUCAGUCGAUCGGAUCCAUCAGGUAUUGUAUAGUGCCUGCUCUGGAGGACUGCAUUUUCAUGCUAGGCCUACCCUUGGCACAAAAGGGUUCCCCCAUAGGACAUGCAUCCGAAUUUUCUGAAUAUCUACUAACUCUUGUUUUUUUUCUUUUCUUUUUCUUUGUUUUUAUUGGAAUAACUAAGCAAGGGUUAAAUCUAAAAGCAAUCUUUUCAAAAUUCUCAGGUAAUAUUUAAAUAUAGCUUCUCGUCGAAGCCCCAUCAUAACGCGAUCCCGUAGUCAAGCCCAGAGGAGUCGUGUAAACAUGAGUUCACAACCAGAACAGUCAGAUAGGUCUGCUACUACCGCUCAACCCGAGACUGCAAGUUUGGGGAUUCAGUUGACUGAGAUGCUUACCAAGUUUGGAGAGAUGGCGUCUGAGAUGGCCGCCCAAAAGAAGUUGAAUGAUGAGCUAAUUAGCAGCGGAGUUCAACCCGAACCUGUACCCGCCAGACAGCCUGAGCAAGAGCCAUUUGUCCUACCUUCGGCCCAUGCCACUGUUACUCCAUCAUUUCCUAUUGCACCCGAAGAAACUUUCACCUAUCCCACCACAAAUUUGCCAUACACUUACCCUCCUCAUCCUUCAUUUUUUCUUACUCACACGCGAGGUCUACCACCCCAAAUCACUUCAAAUAUACCACCUGAGCCACAUACCUUUUAUCACCCUGUUGCUGAGCCAUUCCUACCAGAUCAUACUGUUCAAACCAAGGCAGAAAUGGGGGAAUCUUCUGCUCCCGUUGAUAUAAAGCUGCUCAAACGUCUUGAUCGUUUUGAUGAGUUUAUGAGGAAGAGUCAGGGGUUGAACAAGCAAGGAGUCCUGGACUACGAUGAGCUUUGUCUCUUUCCCAAUGUGCAAUUGCCUGAGGGGUUCAAAACCCCUAAGUUUAACAAGUACGAUGGGACGGGUAAUCCCAAGACACACCUCCGACUAUUUGCUAACAAGUUAGGAAAGCCUGUAGACGACGAGAACCUGCCUCUAAGGUUGUUCCCGGAAAGUCUGGAGGGGGAUGCCCUCGACUGGUACUCAAAUUUGAAGCCCGAAGAAGUAAAAACCUGGAUUGACUUGUCCAAUGCUUUUGUAAGGCAAUAUGAGUAUAACUGCGAGCUGGCUCCGACACGAACCACGUUGGAAGGAACAAAAAGAAAACCCUCCGAGGAUCACAAGACUUAUGCCAAGAGGUGGAGGAAGAUAGCUGCCAAGGUCGAGCCACCGAUGACUGAGGACGAAAUCAUACGCACUUUCAUUAAAGCACAUGAUCCCCCGUAUUUUGAAGAAAUUUUCCGCAUGACUGGAUGCUCGUUCGCCGCCAUUGUCAAUAAACUUGAGGAGUACGAUGACUUCGUGAAAGCUGGGAAGAUUGUUAAUGUCUCUGCCCUCAAAUCCCAGUUGGAUGCUUUGCAAGGACAGGGGACUAGUGAGAAGAACCCGCAAUUUAAAAAGAAAGAGGGGGAAACUGCCUUCACCUGGAAUCAAAACCCUGUCCCAAGACCCAGACCUCGACAAUACCCUACUUACUCAAACCCUUACCCCUACUACUUAAAUCCUCAUCCUGUUUACCACACCAAUAUCACUCAUCCUCGACCUCGCCCAAAUUAUGCCAACCCGCCUACAACCCCUUUCCAAAUAUCUCAACCAAGCUUUCAACAAGCUCGUCCUCGGCCUCCUUACCACCAAAGAUUUCCCCCACCAAAUAGACCCACCUACAACUAUCCCCGACCCACUGAAACCUACAAUCAAAGCCGUACCCGAACCUUCACCAACCUAGGCAGGCCUUUGGACCAAUUGUAUGAGCAAUUGAAGGUUGCCAACAAAAUGGGCGUGAUUCCCCCUCCAACUUACCUUCAUGGCAUGCCUGCUGGGUACAAUCCACAUGCUAUUUGUGCCUAUCAUUCGGGAGUACCUGGCCACUCAACCGCCGAUUGCAGGGCACUUAAGCACAAAGUCCAAGACAUGAUCGAGGCAGGAGAAAUAGUGCUAAGGAAAAGAGGUGAACAAGGGCCGAUCAUAAGUACAAAUCCUUUUCCUGAACACCAGGACACCUUCGAGGCAUCCACCUCCAACGACGAAAUUUGAAAAUCCUGAAGGAGCUUUGCACAAUUUGGAUGGCCGAGUAUCUUCCCUCUCGAAGGGAAUUUCGGUAAAUCUAGGGGUUGUUAUUUACUAAAGUUCACAAAAACCAUUUCUUGCAUAUGUGAAUAGCUUCAUGAAAACAUCUUUCGCAAUUAAGUUUUUGUCUUGUUUCCGCUUUGAUUAGUUUUUCCAUUAAAUGCACAAUUUGUUUAUUUGAUUAUUGUCCUGAAUUUUAAUUCUUUUAAAUGGCCAAAGAUGAAAUUAUUUGACCCUUUGAAUAUCACUGUUCUGGAUUCCGAUAAUACCAUUCAUCUAAAAAUCCCUUCAUUAAGAAAUCCCUUCAUUGAAAAAUCCCUUCUUUGAGAAGGUCAGAAAUCCCUUCGUUGAAAAAUCCCUUCUUUGAGAAGGCCAAAAAUCCUUUCGUUGAAAAAUCCCUUCUUUGAGAAGGCCAAAAAUCCCUUCAUUAAAAAUCCUUCAUUGAAAAAUCCCUUCAUUAAGAAAGCUCUUCAUUGAAAAUCUUUUCGUUAAGAAAGCCUUUCAUCAAGAAAUCCCUCCUCUGCCAAGUUCUAAGCUGAUUGGUUAAAGCAGCGUCACCGACGAUUGAUUUUGAUGGAUGAAAAGCAGUUGAAUGUCGUAUGGCCUGUGUUCAUAACAAAAAGGUCCGCCACCGGUCCUUUAGAGAAGAAGGACAAAGAGUUAAAGCGAGAUUUGCCAAUGCAAGAUGAAAUCAAAGACGAAUUUGGCCUAAACUGGUAAGGCCAUUUGUCAUUCAAAAAGGUGCUACCGAGUGGAGCACUUAUCCUUGAAGAGAUGGACGGACAAACAGUCUCUCAACCUAUCAACUCAGACAUGUGUAAGAAGUUUUAUUUUUAAUUAUGCAAAUUUCUUUUGGAAAUCAUGCAAGGGACGAGGCAAAGGUCAGGCCAUCUUCCUUUCCAAUCAAGACAUUUCAUCCCUAGUCAUCCCUUUUGAGCUAUCAGAACAAUAAUUUUCGUUUGGCAGCCCCUGAGAAUUGCAAACCCCACACUGGGACAAAUUCAUUUUGAAACGAGAUUAUCAGAGAGGGAAAAGGAAAAAUCCCCAUACUGGGGCAAAUUCAUUUUGAAAAAAAGGGAAAAAGGAAAAAGAGGAAAAGAGAAAAGAAAGAACCCCACACUGGGGCAAAUUUAGUUUUUGAAGGAAAAUGCAAAAAGUGAGGAAAAUGCAAUGAAGAAAAUGCAAAGAAAGAGAAAAUCCAAUCAAACUGGGGCAAAUUUCCUCGGUUUCGUUCAAAAUUAGAGAUAAUUUCAAAAUGAUGCAAUCUCAGGUUAUUUCACACCUUUCAUCAAACCUGCUUUCAAGCCUCAACUUUUCUUGAAAAACACCCCACCUGACCUCAUUACAAAAGCCCAAAAGUCCUGACUUUCGUCACUUGCUGUAUUUCUAUUAGGAAUUUCGCUAAUCAAUUGGCAAGUGAUGUCUAUAAUGCCUUCACUUAAACUUCUAAGGGAAGUGCAUUUUACUGAUGCCAGAAAUCUUCAACUCAUACUCCUGAGUCGAUCAUGGUUGAGCUCUUUCAUUUGCGUCUUUAGGUGAAAACCCGAAAGGGCACCUCAAAAAAAAAAAAGAAAAGAAAAAAGAGAAAAGACAAAACGAAACAAAAAGGGGGGGCAACCUUGGUAAAAACCCGAAAGGGCACCAAGGUAGGAUUUUGCAGCGAGCAAGCACAAGGAAGAACAGCUGGUGAUUUGGUUCAUUUGGAUUUCUCCUCAUUUUGUCAUACUUCUGUCAAUUUUGAAUUCCAGAACAAAGAUAUCCAGAGAAUUGAAUAUGACAUUUGUUGGCCAAAACUGUGUCAUUUUGUAAAACAUUCUUUUGCAAAUACAUUCUUAGGAAGCUCAUUUUUCCAAAUUACUUGCAUUCAUGGCAUUUUUGUAGAAUUUAAGCAUAAGUGGUUAUGUGUGCAUUCUUGUGCAUAUUUAUUCUUUCAUGACAUGUGAAUUUUCUUGCAUACUUCAUUCUUUAUCUUUGAAUUUUGGUGAAUAACAAUCCCCGUGAUUUAUUCGAAGCAUACUUGGGUUCAGUCAUCUCUUGAAAAGGGUUAAGGUUCAACAAAGUCAGUUACGCAGACUUCACAAUAUGGCAAAGCACAUACCUGAUCAGUUUGUAAAUCAGAAAAGCCUUAGGAUGAAAAAUCCAACUCAAUCGACUGCCGCAGCAAAAGUUGAUAAAGGCGUUGAAAGACUCAUGUUUACACGAUUCUCAAAGGAAAACGGAUCAAGUGAUGGUGGCAAUUUCUUUGUUUUCUUUUCUCUUUUGCAGAAAAACUGCAUACACAGAUGAAAGUAAUCACACCUCGCACUGGAAUCGGUGUCGGAAAGAGUUCUCCGGUGAACAAAGGCAGAUUGAAAAUGUCGCAAGCAAAUUUCAUCGAAAAAUGCAACAGCAUGGCGAUACAGAAUCAACUCUGGACUCACAUUGCAAAAAUUCAUCAUACUGGGGCAAAUUAAUUUUUCGGAAAGAUUUUCAAAAGUCAAAAAGAAAAGCAAAAAGAAAAAAAAUCAUCAAUAAAAAAAUGAACACAAAUUUUAUCGCGGCAGGCUCGGGUUUAAUCCCACUGACCGAUUGUCAAGGCAUUUUUAUUUUACUCUGCCACUAGCUGUGAGUCAGUCCCACUAGUGCGCAUUUCAUUUUGCAUCGCCACUAGCCGUGGGUCAGUCCCACUAGUGAGCAGUUCAUGAUUCAAAGCAUAUUUGGGUCAGUCCCACGAUCAAAAGCUUAUUCGGGUCAGUCCCACGAUCAAAAGCAUUUUCGGGUCAGUCCCACGAUCAAAAGCAUUUUCGGGUCAGUCCCAUGAUCAAAAGUUUAUUCGGGUCAGUCCCAUGAUCAAAAGCAUAUUCGGGUCAGUCCCACGAUCAAAAGCAUUUUCGGGUCAGUCCCACGAUCAAGAGCUUAUUCGGGUCAGUCCCACGAUCAAGAGUUUAUUCGGGUCAGUCCCAUGAUCAAAAGCAUAUUCGGGUCAGUCCCAUGAUCAAAAGCAUUUUCGGGUCAGUCCCACGAUCAAAAGCAUAUUCGGGUCAGUCCUAUGAUUCAAAGCAUUUUCGGGUCAGUCCCACGAUCAAAAGUUUAUUCGGGUCAGUCCCAUGAUCAAAAGCUUAUUCGGGUCAGUCCCACGAUCAAAAGUAUUUUCGGGUCAGUCCCACGAUCAAAAGCAUUUUCGGGUCAGUCCCAUAAUCAAAAGUAUUUUCGGGUCAGUCCCACGAUUAAAGCUUGUUCGGGCCAGUCCUAUGAUUUGAAUUUCCUUCUCUAGUCAGUCCCAAUUUUAAUUUCUUUGUUCGGAUCAGUCCCGUUUUAAAUUUCUGUCUGGGUCUUUCCCAUUUAAAUUUCUGUCUGGGUCUAUCCCAUUUAAAUUUCUGUGUGGGUCUAUCUCAUUUAAAUUUCUGUUCAAGUCUAUCCCAUUUACAUUCCUGUCCGGGUCAGUCCCGUUUUCAAUCCAUGUUCGGGUCAGUCCCGUUUUAAAUUCCUGUUCGAGUCAGUCCCGCUUUAAGUUCCUGUUUGGGUCAGUCCCGUCUUUAAAUUUCGUUCGGGUCAAUCCCGCUUUAAAUCUCCUGUCUAAGUCAAUUCCAUUUUAAAAGUUUUGCCAAAAGGGGUCAGUCCUUAUUUCUAAAACGUCCACCGUUCGUGACGUUUGCCACCGAAUAAAGCAGGUAAGUAUUUGGUGUCUACUUUUUUGUCUCAAGUUUUUCCAAAACUCAGACAAAGAGGGGCAAACUGUAGACACCAAAUUUUUGGUGUAAUUUCUUUUACUUUUUAUUCUCAUUUGUCGUGGUUACUUUUAGUUUUUUUAGUUUCUAGUUUCUAUUUUAAUUUUUAAGUUUUAACGUAGAAAAAUCAUGGAAAAAGAGAAAAAAAGGAAAAUUGUUCACAAAAAUACGUUCAAAUUUAAUUUUUUGGCAUUUUGGUUAAUUUAUUUUGAAAAAAAAAAAAAGAAAAAAUGAUGAGAAAUGAUGAAAAAUGAAAGAAAAGAUCGAAAAUGGUAAUUUUGUUAUUUUUAGUUUGUUUAUUUUGAUGUGUUUGUAAUUAAAAUUGUUGUUUUUAUUAUUAUUUAGUUUUACUAUUAUUUUUGUUAAAUAAUUAAGGUGAAAAAAAAAUAAAAUAAAAUAAAAAAAAAACAACAUUCUCCACUUCACCAUUCUUCAGAAGAAAACCGCGACUCCAACCUCCUCAAUACCGCACACCAUUUCCAUUUACUCUCUACACCAUCAUUCCCCAAAACCACAACCCCAUUUACCCACCUUGUAAUCAUCGACCGAGGGGAAGGAGAGAGAGCUGCACUUACAGCCGAGAGGAAGGAAAGGUAACUGCGAGCUCUUCGUUUCUGUUCUGUCCGUGAGCUGAGGGGAGAGAAUCGGACACCACUCUGCACUUCCAAGACCUCCACCAGCUGAGCUCAACCACACCCACCAACUUCACAGCUAGCCUACGCAAACCAAACUCAGCCAGCCAUACUUUACUUCCAUAGCCAGCCGAGAGGAAAAUGUUGCAGCAAACCAUCGUGUGAGCUGAGCUCUUAACUGGGGCCACUCAUUUCCAUUCCACUACCUCAGCUCACAACAACAUUUCCCUGCCUUGGUAUCAUCGACAAGGGGAACCAGAGAGAGAGCCAUGCGAGUUGUGAGCUGCAACUUCCCUGUUCUGUCCGAGAGUGCGAGAGAGAGGGAGAGGCCGAACUGCAAUUUCUUUUGCUGUCUCUGUUCUGCCGUAAGCUGAGGGAAGAGACCAGGGAACCAUCACCUUCUUCGUCAACCCCAGACCAACAACCACCAACUGCAACCUCAACCAAGCUGCACUUCACCAUUUCCAGCCGCAACUCAUCAAACCAGAACCAGCAAACCCCGCGGAAGAAGAGAGCCGAGAGGGAGAAAAUUUUCAGACUUUCUGUGCAAGAGCUUAGCUUGCUGUGAGGUAAUUUCUGGACUUUUUAGGUUGAUUACUAGUGGAGGAAACUAUAUGCGAGUUGCAUGUGAGGCUUGUACAGUCGGUGGAUAGAAAUCAAGCCAUUAGGAAAUUUCUGCUUUGGCUAAGUGUGCUGCCGAGAAACUGAUGAGAGAAUGCAGCUGUAUUUCUGUUUUUCUAGGACAAUCUGAGUACCUAAGUGUACUUAGCCGAAUGAAAUUGUGAUGAUUAAAACCAUGCAUGUUAAAUUGUGCAUUCGGAUGAUGUUAUGAAGCAUGCAGAAAUUCUGUUUUGGCUAAAUGUCUCUGCCGAUGAACUAAUUUGGGACAUGUAAUUUUAAUUCUGACUCCAUGUGAUAAUCUGAGCUUAAUUGAGGAUCCAAUUUGAUAGAUAAUUUUUUAUUUGGUGUUGCAUGUGAACCUUAUGGCCAGGAAUCUGAUUGCAUGGCUGGAUUUUUUUUUUUAUUAGAAGUUGUUGGACUGCUAAACACUUUUCCCGCUUAGCCGAUGGAGUUGUUUUGGGAGUUGUAUGGGUAUUUUAGAAUGAGAUUUGCUGGAAAGUGUUUGAUUCUCACUUGGUUGUGUGUUUAGCUAAUUAAAUGCUGGAUGAUUAAGCCCUGCAUGAGAUGAUUUAGCUGUGUGUAAACCAGAAAUUUGAAUGAAACCAAAAAUCUGCUGCAUGCAUGUCAUCCGUAAAUAGUUGAGCAAAUUCUGGAAUUUUGGAUGAAUGUUGUUGGUGACCGACCCUGCUUUGGACUAGAAUUGAUAGUAACUUCAUUUAUUAGUCAUGCAUGAUAGCUUUGAGUACAUAAUUCAGUGAUUUGGCCAAAAUUGUUGACACAUAGUUGCUGGAAAUGUUUCAAUUUAUCCGAGGGAGGGAGAAAGAAUUUUUCCAGUUUAGACGUGAGCUUUCAUAAUUGUUCCCUUGCUGCACUUUCAUUUAGCCGUGGUUUCCUUUGGUCAUUCCUUUGCUGCACUUUUCAUUUAGCCAUGAGUUGCACAUCUUAGUUCCUUAGCCGCAUUUUUCAUCUAGCCAUGAGUUGCACAUCUUAGUUCCUUAGCUGCACUUUUCAUUUAGCCGUGAGUUAUCAUUUUGUUUCCUUCGCUGCAUUUUUCAUAAACCCAUAAGCUUGAUGAGCUUUAUAUGUGCGAGGUUCAUGUGAAGGGAGUUGCGACAUAGCAACAGAAAUUUUCGUCGUAGAUGGUUUUCUUUCUUUUGCUGCAGUUCAUCUUCAUAAUUUGCUGUUUUCCUAGAUUCUCGCAACAAUACAUAAGCUGGUUUGCUCAUUUCUUUUCGCUAGCUGAAUUAGGUGUAGAAAGGGGUGGUGUUUGAUUGGUUUUGAAGUUGUAUGCUCGGCUCUAAACAUUGUGAACCCCUUUUUAAACAUUGCUGGAUUUUUGAUGAGAUUAGAAAUGUUGAAUCUUCUUGGCAUAAAAUUUCCUAGCACUUGCAUGUUUGUUCCUGAUAUGUUUUGGUUUGUUUGGGGAAUCAAGUUGGGAGUUAUGUUGUUUGACUCAAAGUGGGGAUGUUGCUAGAUAAAAUUUGUCCAAGCUUGGCGUUAGUUUUGCCAAAAUCUGUUUGAAAAAAAAUGAAAAUGCACCAGUCUUUGAGUGGGUUUUUGUAACAAAAGUGCAGCAGUUUUUUUGGUUUUGUAAACUUGCAAGAAAUUACUUUGAUUAAGUAUUGUUUAAGCAUGCUUUAAUUAGAGUUAGUUUAACGCUUUGUUAGCUAAAGAUUCAUAGAUGAAUUUGUGGAUAAGCUAGCUUAGCCUACCAAGAUUUUCUUGUUGCUGCCGAAACUUCCUUGUUGUUUUGCCGAAAGUUUCUUGUUUGUUGCAGAAAAUUUUGUUCCUCACGUAUGCAUGCAUGUCAAUAUUUCUGAAUUUAACACUUUGACCCCCCAAGUCCCCUCUUGACUCACUAGGGCCCAAGUAAUUGGAACAUUUAAUCAAUUUGAUCCUUCUAAGUUUCUUUUUGUUCCACAAGAGCCCAAGCAUGUUCUAGUAUCUUGUAAUUAAGUCCUAAAAUCAUUGCAACUUCAAUCAUUGUUUGACUUUUCCUUUAUUUUUAAGAUCUUUGAAGUGCUUAAACGAUUUAUUUGGACUUGAAUGUUUGAGUAAUGCUUGUUUUGGGUCUUUAGUAGAUGCUAUAUUUGGAAAUUGAACGGGUUAUUCCGUUUUCUUGGUCUUUAAGCAUUUUUUGAGCUCAUUCAAGUUGCAAUUAGGUGGGUUUUGAUGUUUUUGCUUAUACUUUACUUUUAAAUUGAUGCCUUGACCCCUUUAUUGUUUUGAAGCCAUUUUCCUUCAUUUGCUUAUCAUUAGGGGAAGGUAUAACUUUCUUUUAUCCUCUUUACUUCUCUCUUACGUGCUCCUACGUGUUACGUGAAUAUGCAUGUCUACUUUGCUUUCUUAAUUCCUUGCAUUUAUUUCGUUUACUUUUACUUUUAUUUAAAUUAUUCAUUAUGGGGUAUGUGUACACCUCUUGGCUUGUAAUAGAUAGGGCAUUGGAGAGCACUUUGUCCAUUUUUCCCCCUUCCCCCAUUUGUUUUAGUUAGCCCAUGUAAUAGUUUCAUUUGCUUUUGGGGUAUUAUUUGGUUUGCUACGUGUUUAAUUUGCUUUAUUAAGCUAUUGCAUCUAGUCGAGCAUGCUAAGUGUUAUGUGCUACGUGUUAUAAGUGAUUUUGCAUGUCUACUUGCUUUCUAUAUUUAUAAAUGAAUGUGAUGGAUGAAUGUACGUUUCCGCUAGUCCAACGCUAGUCGGAAUUCAUAGAAUGGGCUAGUCCAACGCUAGACCCUUAGGGAUUUCCCCUUGUUAGUACAUAUUUGCAUGUUCAUUACAUGUCAUGCAUUCUUUUUAGUUUUAUCAUUUUUUGCAGGCCCCCGACCCCCUUUCCCCUCACUUUAGGUCUUGCAUCUCAUGCUAGUUAGGGUACAUUUGCCUGAAGGACCCCCUUGGGUAAGGGAAACGAGCGAGUGUGGCUUCAAAAUAGCCUUAGCACGCUAGUUUUUCCUUCUAAUCAAAGGAAAAUUAAAAUCACAAAAACUAGAGGUCAUUCCCGUACCCGACCUGAUGCAUUCCUCUAAGUUCAUGCAUUUUCAUAUCAUUUUCUCACUAUUUUCCUCACUAAUUAUAUAUUUUAAAUCCACAUGUCAUAUUCACACACUUAUUCAUUUUCUUUACUUUUCACUUCACACAUUGCACCUAUUUUACUUAUAUAUUUACUAUUUUCAUUCACUUGCACACGAGCAUUUAUAUUUUUAUUCAUUUGCACACAAACACUUUCAAAUUGCACACAUGCACUUUUUUCUACACUUUGCACACUUACACUCUCAUUUGAGUCCUCAUUUGCAUCAUUCAUGAUUUUCUAUGAGGACUUUCCUUGUUGGCCGUCACGACUCGUGUGAAUGGGACCAAAAGCCUCAUAAGAAACAUUUCUUAGAUUUAGGAUUGCAUUUCUCAUUCAUUAGUCAAAUCCAAUUUGCAAUACAUACUUUGGGUAGAAAAUAUAGGAAAAUAAGGGUUAAAUCACGCAACUAGCCUUGGUUAGGUCGAAGGGGUGCCUUGGAUUUUUAUCCUUGCCUUCCCCUUCGUCAAAUGUGACUCCCGAACCUUUUUCUUUGUUUUACGUGGAUUAGGACUUACUUUUUUUCUUUAAAAAUUUCAUUUUUUGGGUGACUUGGUACACCCUAACUCUAUACCAAGUGGCGACUCCAUUUUUUCAUAUAAAAACCCUUUUUGAACUAUUUUUCUUGGGUCAAAUCGUCGCAUUUUCAAAAGUCCCAUUUAGACCCAUUUUUGUUUUUAUCAAAAAAUUCAUUUUUCCCAAACCAAUAAAAUUCAACAAAAAAACAAUUAUUUUAUUUUUUUCCAAAAAAAAGUGGGGCGCGACAAACACUAUUUCUAAAAAAUAUUCUCAAUGUGAUUCAUUUUCAAAUUUUAUUCCCAUAAUGAUGUCUUCACCCAAUUAUCCUGAUUACCAUGUAGAAUAACAAGAAAGGAAAGCUUUAAUCUAAUCUAUUGUUUCCAACAUGGACUAAAAAUUUAAUUUUUUUAUUAUAGAGGUACAAGAAAAUUGCAUAACUUUGAUAAUUUCCUUAUAAUUAUUUGAAAUAAAUUCUACCAUUAUUGAUCUUGCUAUUAUUGGUCUCUGCAUUUUUUUUUUUGAAAUGUAUCAAACCUAUUGUAUAUAUUUUUUCAAAAAAUAAAUUUGAAAAAUACAAAAAUUGCAAUGAAAAUUGUAAGCAAUAACAAGAAAAAAUUACAAAAACUUCAAGGCUAUCAUAUCUAUUUAUGUUGUUAUGUAGUUUUUCUCCUAGACAUUUUAUCAAACACAUGGUAUGAGAAAUCAUUUGUUAUACAAUUAGUAUUCAAAUUUUUUUGAAGGCCAUAGCAAUAUUCCAAAAAUUGAACAAUGGAAAAGACAAGAAUAAUCUUCAUUUACCUUGAAAUUAUCAAUUCAAAAAGAAUAUUUUCAUCCACCAAAAUAAUAUCAAGGAUGAUAAUGAAGUUUUAGAUGUUGUUAAUAUAACUAUUGACUUCUCAAAAUUACAUAUGACAAGGAACAGUUAAUGAAAUGAAAAAAAUGUGGGAAGAUUCAAUGAGAGAACAGGGAAGAUAUUAGAUGGAAAAGAGAAAUAAAGUGUGUCUAUAUCUCUAUCCUGGCACAUGUGCAACCUUUGUGGCAAAAAAAGGAUCAUAAUUGUAAUAAAUUUUAAAAUUAGGUUACUUUGGGUAUAUGAUUUGGAAGGAGAGUUAUUUUGGCCGUAAACUUGAUAUUCAUGCGUUAUUAUUUAGUUAUGGGUUAAUUUCACUUUGUCCCCCCAAACUUUGGACGAUUAUCCACUUCAGUCCCUAAACUUCAAAAUGGGACACUUAAGUCCCUAAACUUAUAAAUACCUCCCACUUAAGUCCCUAAACUUAUAAAAUGAGACACUUAAAUCCCUAAACCCUUAUAAAAUGGGACACUUCGACCACCAACGACAUUCAGGAUUUGUUAACAAUUUUCCUUAAGUGGGAGGUAUUUAUAAGUUUAGGGACUUAAGUGUCCCAUUUUGAAGUUUAGGGACUGAAGUGGGUAAUCAUCCAAAAUUUGGGGGGACAAAGUGGUAUUAACCCUUUAUUUAUUGCAUUAUUACUAUAAUUAUAAGUAGCUACAUACCUUUUCCCUAGAGUUGAAUGAAAUCUAGUGAUCCUUAGUUCUUAAUUUAGCUUGGUUGAUUGGUGAUUCUGCAUGGUAUUUCAUGUAUUUGUUUUUAUCUUAGCAAUUAAAGUACACUUAAUAGUGACGAAACUUAGGUCUUAAUUAAUAGAUGGUAUUAGUUAAUACUAGUUUGUGAAGAUAUAAAUCCUAAGUAACAAUUCACGAAAGUAGAGAAGUACAUAGAGAAUAAUUACAUAAUCUCUUGAUCUUAAUGAAUCUUCAAUUAGGUUUAGAUUACAACAGUAUACUAAAUCUGAUUAUUGGUAUGUGUAAUUCACUAGCGAAAGUGUAUUUCAUAAAGUUAGGAGGAUUUACCAUAGUUUUGCAUAAAAAAAUUGAUUAAUUGACCAAGAUAAGAUUAUGGUUAAAACAAUAAAGGAAAUCAAAACCCUAAGAUUUGUCUAUCUUUAAUGCUUUGUGAUUUUUUUGCUUCUUGUUUGAUUUGUCUCUUUUAGUAGUUUAGGAAUUUCUCGUUUCAUGUUGUUAUCUAAAUAAUUGAGAAAAUUUGAAACAUUCAGGUUGUUAAUUUCAUUUCUAUGGGAUCAUUACUUAAAUACUCUCUGUACUAGCAUAGGAGUUGUACUAUUGUAGGUCAGAAGUAAGGAUCCUUUCAUGCCCUCAAGAGAUCCUAAACUUCAUUGAUGCCCGAUCUUAUUGCCUCACAUUAUCUCUCGAUUCCAACUAGGCAAACCCAAAUAGUCAAAUUUCUCAACAAGUUUUUGGCGCCAUUGCUAGGAAAAUUCUUAAUUAAUAUCAACAAUAAGAAUUGUUUUAUUAGUUUAGACAUUUUUUUGUUGUUUGGUUUCUUUUCUUUUGUUGUCGUGCGAGUAUGUUUUUUAUUGCUUAUUUCAUUUAGUUUAUGCACUUUUCUUCAUGUGGUAUUUUGGCUUUUAGUUUAGAAAUCAUGAAGUUUGUAUGAUCACAUAGGAGAAUCAAAUUGGAUUUGAAGGAAACAAGUCCAAAGAAAGAAAAUGAGAGUUCAAAGGAAGGACUAAAAAUGGUGGAAGAUACAAAUCCACCUAGUCCACUCAAUCCAAUGGGUCUAUGCAAUGUUGCUUUACCAAGUGUUACCAGGCACAAACAAACAUCAUGCGUCCUACUGUGCAUACGAACAACUUUGAAUUCAAUCUUUAUUGAUUCAGAUGGUGCAGUAAGUUCAAUUCUGUGAAAAUUCAAUGGAGGAUCCCAAUGCUCAUCUUGCAAAUUUCUUGGAGAUACGUGAAACAAUCAAGUUUAAUGAGCUAAGCAAAGAUGCCAUCAAGUUAUGUCAUUUUUCUUUCUCUUGUGAGAGUACACUAAGUAUGGCUCUUCUCACAUCCUUCCAACACUUUUUUACAUAUCAUGAUUUAUAUAAAACUUUUUUUUACGAAUUAUAUUUUACCAAGUAAAAUUGUAAAGUUAAGAAAUGAAAUAACUAGGUUUUUUUUGCCAAUUAGAAGGUGAAUUACUGAAUAAAUCAGAGGAAUGAAACAAGGGCUUGCCAAGGAAGUGUCCUCAUCAUGACCUUCUAGAGCGGUUGACUAUUCAAACAUUAUGUAAUAGUCUAACCUAUUCUAUGAGAAUUAUAAUUGAUGCAACUAAAUGUAAAACACUUAUGGGAAAAUUUGUUGAGGAGGCAUAUGACCUAUAGGAGGAGAUUGUGGCAAACAACUUUCAAUGGGCUUUAGAGAGAGGAAAUUAAAACUCUAGGUUUGUCUAUCUUUGAUACUUUGUGAAUUCUUGCUUCUUGUUUGAUUUGUUUAUUUUAGUAUCUUAGUAAUCUCUUUCUUCAUCAUAUUAUCUAUAUAAUUGAUUAGUUUUAAAACAUCUUGCCAUUAAUUUUGUUUCUCUACAGGAUACUUGAAUACUCUUUGUACUAACAUAUGAACUGUGCUCUUGUAAGUGAGAAAGUAAGGUUAGUAAACUUCUAAAACUAAGGUUAGAAAAUUUGUUUUGUAGUGUGUAUAUGCUAUAUUUUAACUCAAAAUAAAAUCAAUAAGCAUGGGUUGAACUAAGAAGCUUUUGAAGAUUUAAGUUAGUUAUAAAAUUAUAUCUGUGUCUAAAACCUCAAAAUCAUUGUCGUUCAACAUAACUAAUCUUGCUUGUGGUGACAAAGUAGAUAAAUACUAUUAUAAAUAUAAAAACAACCCCUAAUAUGUAACAAUCCAACUGGAUUAAUCUUUAUCUCCUAAUUAGCUUAAUCUUGGUAACUAUAAAUAAUCUCAGUACUUGCCAUUUUAAGUGUUCCUAUAUCCCAAAAGAUCAUCAUCAUUGAACAAAUAAUCCCCAUUAUGUAUUUCCUUGAUAUGUACUUUUUUAUUUUUAUUUUUAGGGAGCUUCUUUUGGAAUUACAAAUCCUUUCAAAGGAGAAUCUACUUUUACCAUCUCAAUUUUUUGGAAAAGGAAAGGGAUGAGCUCUCUAGGAUAAAAUCUUUCUCUAAAGUGCAAGGGAUCAGAUUUUGUAUCAGCAAAGUAAUUGGAUAAGUUAUUAGGAAUAUGAUGGAAUGAAAAAUUGAAUGACUCGAGGUUUAUUCUUCAACUGCCCUUGAUCUAUGAUAUUGGACUAUCAGGAGUUUGACAGUGUGCCUUAGAAGAUAGAAAAGAAGAUAGCUGGAGGAAUCCAUAGGAGGCCCGCUCAUUAUGCAUUGCAUGAGGGCUGUCAAGAGUUAAAAGGAAAUAAGGAGGCAAGCCCCCACAUCUUACGCAUAUUUUGCUCAUCCAAUAUGGCUUACGACCGAUUGAAAGUAGUUUCACCCUUUCAUCAACCUCAAAAACUGAUUCACAUAUAGGCAAUGCUAUCUAUUGUACCCUUGACUCUAUCUCCUUUCUUAUUACAGGAUUCCCUCUCCAUAGUACUCAAAAGUUCUGUCUUAGCUUUGACUUCUUGAAGCCCUUUCUUUUAGAUAGAAAGGUUCCCCUAGUUUGGUGCAUCUUUGACACAGUUUAAAUAACUAUCCUAGAGUUAAGGUUUUUUCCCUACCAAAGUGUCCAGCAAGACCUCCAACCCUAAUGAAUGGACUAUAAAGUGGUUAGUCAAACUCUUGAGUGGCUCGGAAGUAUUGCACCUGCUGAUAGCUCUACCCCUUCUUUAGGGAUAAAAUUAACUUGACCGUUAGGGCUAGAGCUAUGUUGACAUGUCAAAGUUAACCAAUUCCACCAAAUCCACCUGUCUCUCGGCAAAGAUCGAGUGAGUGUGUAGUUAUGCUUCAAAUGGAGAUUGGAUUACUUAUUUGAUUAUUAACCGCAAAGGUUUCCACGAGGAACCCUGAAUUAUGUUAGGGCAAGAGAAAGAAAGGCAAGGGACAUAAUUUCUACAUAAGAAUAUGACAAAAAACAAUAGUUCUUUUUUACGCUCUCUGAAAUUGUGCUCGAUAUUUGCCAGUACCGGAAGUGGUAAUAAAAGUGAGAAUGUUGUCAUUAAACUAACCAUACAAAUAAGGGGCCUCAGCCUUAUGCACUGCUUAAUUAAGUAUGUGACUCUGUAUGAGAACUUGAUGUAAUUGAACUUGACUAAAAGAAGGCCCAACUGAUAAAAGAUAGAAUCCAAAUUCAAGGCAGAACCAAAGAUAGUUGUGAGAGAAAAGGAGUUCAAAACUCAAAAAAGGCCUAGUUGAUCUCCUCUUAUUAUUAUGAAUAAUAAGUUUGCACUCCUUUUCUAUUUUGCUAGUCAGCGAGCUAGUUUAAUGCUAAGCAAAGUGUACCUUUCCUUACAAAGAGCUUUCUUCUCACUUUUUCUUCUAACUAUUUUUUUGUUGUUCUUAUCCUGCCACUAGAACAACUAAGACAUGCAACAAAAGAACCUAGAAAAGAGUUGAAAGAAAAGAGAGAAACCAAGAUUUUUUUUUGGUUUUCUUUCCAAAAUAAUAUAACCAUCAAUAAACAUAUACCCCCUCUGUCCCAAAAAGUGUGUCGCGUUUUGGGAAUUGCAAUUAUUAUCAACAAUGCAAGGCUUUUAAAUGAUUUGCGUUGAAGUUCUGGCAAUGCCCUCUUGACUUUCAAUAUAUUCAUACGUGGGUGAAUGAUAAAAGGGGCACAAGUUGUGAUAAGACAUGUGGGACCCAAAAGAUUUAAAUGUCUCCACACUACUUUAGAGGAAAGUGUCAUGCAUGAUUGCUACUUGCAUUCCACGUGAGAGUCAUGAACUAUUGAGUGCAGUGUUGGUACUUGGUAAGUGAGCAGAAAUGUGUCAGAUUGGGCCCACUAAAGGAUAAGAAAAGGCUGUCACAUGGAAGGGUAUGGAGUGGAAAUGUGUGAAAGUUUUCAUUGCCAAUUUAGGAAGUGACAAUCAUUUUGGGAUGGAUUAAAAAGGAAAGUAUGACACUAUCAAUGGGACGGAGGGAGCAUAUGAAAGAGAGAGGAAGAGUAAUGAAACUUGUUUGUUUUGUGCCCUUCAAUCAACGACCUUGUGUUGGGAUUGUAGGUUGCAUUGAAUAGUUGUAUCAACAAGCUGUUGAAGUGAAGAUUUUUGAUAACUCAAUAGUAACACAAUUGAAGAUUGACAUUAAUGAUGUUGAAACUAUAGACAUGAUGUUACUCAUCGAGAGUUCUUGAUCACUUUAUAGCAAGUCCAUAUGUUACUAACACUUGCUGCAAGCUUUUAUGUUUUAAUUUUUUAUUCUUGCAAUUAUGUUAAUUAAAAUUAGUGCAUCUGGUUAGAACUAAUGUCGUUUCAUUCAUGUGUGCAUAGUAAUUUUAGUGAUUUAUUUAUGUAUAUUUAUUGAGUAGGAAUUUUGUAGUUUUAUGUAGGUAUAGUUAUUGUGGAUUUGUCAAUUAACUUUUGUAAAUUGAUUUAGAAGUAGUAAUAAUUGGAUUAAAAUGAGUUGUAUCUAAAUUAACUAUUUCUUUAUUGGAAAUCAAAUUAGGAAUGGUUCAAACUUAUUAUUGUGGAGUGAGAAUUUGCUUUGGAUAAUGAUUUGGAAUUUAAAUGUAAAUUAACUUUAAUAGUGUAAUUAGUUUAGUGAGCAGAUUUACUUUUCAAUGUUAAGAAUGAAGUGUUAAAUUGAAAGUGUGUGGAAGUUGUUCCCAACAGAAUGUUAUGAGGUUAAUUAGGUAAUAUUGUUUAAUUUCUAAACUCUAUUGGUUUUUAGUGUUUUAAUGGUUUAAUUUAGUAUUUAAUCUUUUCUUUAUUGAAAGUUGAAUUGGUAGUCUAUUGAUCUUAAUUGGUAUAAUUAUAAUGGUUUUAGAUAUCCAUUUUUUGUCAAGUCAAGAAAGGACUACAAUUACUUUUAAGUAACUUAGUUGCUUCAAAAAUUUCAAUUUAACUCCAAAUUUCCUUGGUUUUAAUGCAGUUCACUGUUCAAGAUUCUUUUACUACUUUUUCGAAGUGAACUUGACUUUUCAAAGUUAUAUAUUGGCUUCAUCUAAUUUUUGAGGAUUAAUCUAUUAAAAUUGAGUAAUAAUUAGGUUUAAACCCUCCUCUUUGAGUAAAUCUUACAAAAAAGAGGAUUUAAAUCUCAUCAUAUUGUAGGUAUGGAACAAGGCUUUAUUCAUAAAUCAUAAUUGGUCUAUUUAUAGUAGUAAUGACUCACGUUGAUUGAUUUGGGUGCAUAUUGUGGAAUUGAAGAAUAAAAAUUUUAUAUUUGUUCCUAUACCAUGUUCAUAUUCUAGGUUUUGAAGGAAAUUAUUACAAUUGAGGCCUUUGGCACCCCUUGGGCGAUUGUUAUUGAAUUUUUCUAAGUGCACUAUUAGGAUGGGUAGUACAAGUCAAGUUAAAGUGGCUUCUAUUGUCAAAGAUGGUGAUUGGUAUUGGCUUGAGGGUAGAAGGAGAGUUGAGAUAGUUCUGAAAAUUGUAAAUAGCUUGUCUUCUUAAUUUAAGCCUGUAUCUUUUGACAAGUGCUUAUUUUGUGUCGCUAAUUAUAUUUGUUUUGGUGUGUUUUUACUCAAGUUUGAAUCAAAUAACUAGGGUUUUAGUUGAAUUUUUUAAUCAAAUAACUAGGGUUUCAAUUGAAUUUUACAUUUUAUAGUUAAAGUGAGAAAAAAUUGUAUUUCUAUGGAGUUAAGUUAUUAAAAUGUCAUGUUUUUUUAGGUUUUGAUGGCUCAAUCAUCAAUUGGAUUAAAAAAAAGAAGAGGUUUGAAUGAUUCUUGAUGAUUUAGAGUUGAUUUCAAGUGAAUAUAAAGUACAAAAUGAUCACAAGAUGAAAUACAAUCAAUUUCAAGAGUCAAAAGGAUUGGUAGCCAUAACACAUCUUGGUAUUUUGGCUAUAAUUUAAUUUCAAAACUUGGAUUGAGAUGAUUCUUGGAUCAUUUUAAAGCUAAAAUUAAGAUUUACAUUUCUGAUAAGACAUAAUCCAAUUCAUAUGAUUUUAUGGUCAAAGAGCUGAGAUACAGAACUUCAUUUCUACUGCCAAACUCUGAAAUAGAGUUUUGACCAGUUGAAGUUAUUUUGGUCAUUUAUCUGCCUACAAAAUUUCAAAUUGUAUGAUUCUUGAUGUGCAUUGGAGGACUUGAACAAACUAGCAUUGGUUAGUUUUUGAGCAUCAUAGGCUAAAAAUUGAACACUGUGAGGACUCAUGUUUUAUUUUUAAAAUAGGCAUUUUUAUAAUUAUUUGCCUUGGAGUUAGUUAACUAUAUUUUAGUUGCAUGAAUUGCCCUUAAAUUUUACUUUAUCGCGUGCGAAUCGAAAGUUCGCGUAUUUCGCGUCAGAACGACUAAAUGGAGAUUUGAAAAAUUAAUACUAGACUAGUAAGAGUGAAUAAUUAUAGUGUUAAAGAAAAUACAUUUGAGGAUUAGUGCAUGAGUGUAUCAAACCUGAGAGAAAUUGGUGGUACGAAACCCUAAUCCGACAACUAUUUAAAGUUGACUUUUGGCAAGUUUAAUGCCUACUUUUCCCUUCAAUCUUCCAAGACAAGCCACAACACACAACUCUCUCAUUUCUCUCUCUCCAUUCUCGGCCAACACAAGAAAAGAAAGGGAAGGAAGAACUUCAUCUCCUAGCUUCCAUUUCACUCACAAAUUUUCCACCAAAUCACUCACAACUUGGAGUACCACUCUAGCUAGGAGCAAGAAGCAAUCUUAUGGAAUUUCUUGGAGAACAUUUCGGUGGAAAAUCUGGUUUUUUCAAGGGUUAAAGGGUAAUCACUCCACCUCUCUUACCUUUCAAAUUAUAAGAAGUUUAAGAGUUAAUCUUCAUGGAUUUGAAACCCUAACCGCGUAUUAGGCUAGCGGACUUGAGGAACCAUUUAUUUCGCUUUAAAUCAUAGGCUAGCUAUCUUGAUAAGACCUCUAGGUAGCUGACUUGAGGCUUGAUUGUUUGAUUAUGAUUGUUUAUGUGAUAUAUAGCUUGAUUAUGGUUAGAAAGUGGAGAGAAAUCGAAAGAAAGUUGUGAAGGCAAGAUGGCCGAAAAUUCUGUCCAUGUUGUUCUGUCUUUAUUUCAGAAAUUUGAUGCUUGGUUGGCUGUGAAAUUGAUGGAUAUAUGUUGUAUAUUGUGUAUACAAAGUGCCUUUCAAAAAUUGUAUCGAAUGGUUGCACAAAACUUGAGUUUUGGAAAAGUUUCAAAUCUGGAAAACGUAUAGCAGGGUACCUGGACAGUAGGUCUUUGUCCGAACAUAACUUUUUGUGUACCAUUAGUGGCAUUCAAAACUAGACAUUCAGAGCUUUCUAUAUAAAAAUCCCCUGCUAGUUCGUUGAGUGAUCCAUAGCGAAUCAGCAAAGUCGUUUGUUCUGCUUUGCCUAUGUGUUCGAAUGAAACUGGAAAGUUGCAUCUUGUGGCUCGAUUUGUCCCACUUGUGAAAAGAUUUUCAAAAUGAAGUCUUCUGAUAAAUUGUAGAAUUUUGAACCUAGUUCCCAAUACCAUAAACCAUUAUCAAUUUGGAGUUGUAUAGAGGUAGAUAUGGUUUGAGUUCGAAAAUGCGACAAAGCUGGAAAUUAGAAGAUUUUCCCUUCCUUGCUGACCGAAUGGUCAAAUCUGUUUUGGGAUGUUAUAUUUUGAAAAAUUUAGUGUCAUUUAACCAUCAAUUGCUUAUUAAAUGGUUCUGGAACCUUGGUUUAAAAAAUGGAGUGAAUUGGUGUGACAGCCCCACCUUCCCCUAAGGCGAACCAAAGGGUUCGGCAGACCGCCUGCCCAACUCUCAUCAGGACUUACUCACUCACUCACUCAUGGCUGAAGUAAAAUAAUGUACAUCCAUAGAAAAUGAAUAACACAUCCACUUCAACUUAAUAUAUACAUUGAUGCUCAAAUCCAGAUACAAAGUUUCUACACACCAAAAAAAAAAAAACUUCAAAGUAUUUACAUUUUGAGUACAAUCAACCCUAGUAGGAUACUAGCAUGAGUACAAAUGCAAAAUUCAAAACAACUAGACUACGCUAAUCUGUACAUGUCUCAUGCCUCGCUCGUACCCCCUGUAAGGAAAACAAAUGGUGUGGAAUGAGCUAAAAGCCCAGUGAGAUUCCAAAUGAUAAAUUGACCAUUUUUAAAAGUACGAAUAUCAACGUAGCGAAUUAAUGAGCAUCAAAAGUUCAAAAAAGUGAACAAUAAUACUUCAAGUAGCAAAUCUCAAAGUGAGCGAGUGUAAAAGUUUUUCAAAAGAAACAAUAAUCCAGUAAGCAAUAAUCAUUCCAAAGUAUAAGGAUAUGGAGGGCUCUCAGGAGCCAAAUUCCCAUUGCAUCACCAGGAGCUUGAUCACGUAAUAGUUGACACUCCGUCAACUUUCAAAUAAAGAAACCAAUCAAGUAGAGUACCACUUACACUACUCUCCGUCCACCACUCAAACCCCCUACUGGGCCCAAAAUCCUCAAUAAACACUGGUGAUAAUACUCGAGUAUACCGAUUAGUCGAUGAGAUAUCACUCCACUCGACAAAACAAAAGACCCAGGGUUCGUUACCCAAUCGACUAAGCCCUUGCCGGCUCGACUCGAGUAACUCGCCACAGGGUUUCUGGAAUUCCAGGAAGUGCGCAACAUAUACACAAAUAUAUCAAAUCCAUUGCAACAAUAAACAAGUGUAUCUCAUAUUAGGGCAAGUGCGAUAAAGUACACUCUUACCUGAACAAACAAAUGACAUAUCAUUAAAUCACAUUGGUCAAGUAUUGAAAACAAGUAUCCAGUUCAAUCAUGUAUUUGGAAGCACUUACCAAAAGUAGUGCCUCUAGUGAUCGUGUCUGGGUUGUACUCCGGGUUUGGAGCCCAAAUCUGCGAUAAAACUUUGUUUAAGAACUUUAAAAAAUCGACUAAGGUUCGAAACUUAGACGUUUCGUUCAAUAAGAAUCAAGAAAUGGAAAUUCACUUGGAGAAUAUUCAUGAAAUACUCGCUCGCUUUUCAAACUAUAUAACUUUGUAACAUUUAUACUUGGAAAUGCCAAUUGAGUCGAAAGUACAAGGAAAACGUAUUCCUAGUAGUCAUGAUUGUAUUUCUCAAGGAUACAAGUUUGGCCAAAUCCUCACUGAUAUACCUCGAUAAAAGAAGACACAAAUAUCCUAGAUAGUUCAAGUGGUAAUCGCUCUUAACCCUUACUCAAAUUGCAAGUAUGUCUACCUAGCUCUUGAGCGUAAAUUUGGGCAGCACGCCCUUUGUAUUUUCCUAUUUUCCAGCCAUUUAUGGCUUCAUUCUUUUCCUCAAUAAAACCCAAAGUUACACACAAAAUAAUCUCAUUUCAUUAGCCGUUCAAUAGGCUCAAGGUCGUACAAGUACAAAAUCAAGCUAGGAACAUGUGCGGAAAUGAAGUUUGAGUCAAGAAACAAAAGACGGAUUUGAUGUUGUUUUGCGUAACGGACACAACCGAUGCUACGCUUAUCGGAUUGAGGUGAAAUUUAUAUCGUUUCGAAGCUAAGUCAGAGGGCUAAAAUUUUGAUGAAGGUCACUUAGUCCAAAUUCCAGUGUAACCCAGUCAAAUUCCCAAUUCACAGAACCAAAUUUCUAACUAACAGGCCAGUUAACCACACUACGUUCAAAUGGCCAUAUCUCAAGCUACCAAAGUCUGUUUAAGACAUUCUUAGGGGCGUUAGAAAGCUAAGAUAUAGUACUAAAACUUUCAUGUUUUGACUAAAAGCUUGUUCGGUACGUAUCAAGGUGAACAAACGCAACCAACUUAGUGUACUGUCAAAACUGUCCACUGACUUUACUCCUAUGGCAGUCAGGGUAUUUUUGUCUUUUCAUAGGCUACGUUGCUCCAAUUGAGUUGAAUUUUGCAGGAAAAUGUAAAACAUCAUUCUCUACAACUUUCAUGUUUUGUGAUAAGCCUAAUUCUACCUCUAACAUAAUGAACUGGAACCGGGCAGAACUGAAACUACAAUUUCCAUAAAUCUGGAAUUUUGUUAUAUUCAAGCUAUAAUUCACAUUUUUACCUUAAAAAUACCACUACUUUCUCCUUUACAAGAUUAUAUACCAUAUAUAUACAUCAUAUAACACCAAACCCACAAGAAAUAUAAGUGAAUCAAUCAAAACCCUAACUCAAAAUUCAUCACUCCAAUCAUCAAAACCAUUUGAAACAAGCAUCACAAACACAAUUCUAACAUUAAUACCCAACUUAAUCAUGAUUAAUGGAGAAAGAAAGGUUGAUCAACCAUUAUACCUCAAGACAAGAGCUUGCAAGAAGGAUCCUCCACUUCUCCUUGAAAUGUUUUUGGUUCCUCAAGCUUCCCAAGCUUCCAAACUAGUGAUUAAUCGGUUUAGAUUUCUUGUUUUCUCACUUAAGUGGAUCAAACUCAAGAUGGAUUGUGGUUUCUUUCUCUUGGCUUUUCUUCCUCUCUCUCUCAGCUGGUGUACUGAAAAUGAGGGGUAAAUUGAGUAGUUUUUAGUGAUAAAGAUGGUGAAAAUUAAUUAGUCAACAAAUCAAUAGAUGGUCGCCACUUGUUGCUUUAAGAUUAACCUUCAAAUUUUGUCCUUUUUCCUUGUUUUUUGGUCAAAUAUUUCGGCCAAGCUUAGCUCAAAAAUGGGGUGAUAUUUUGCACUCAUAUCAAUGGUAUUGUAUGGUAGGAAAGUGGUGGUCAAGUGGUGUGUUCAAAUGGUAGUGAUCGAUACCCGUCAGUUUGAGCCGAUUUUUCUUAAAUCGCGUAUACUAGGGUUUUUAACUUCUACUCACUAACUUAUUAUUAACACUUCUAAUCAUAUAAUAUUUUCUCAUCCAAAUUUGAUCCACACUCUGUACCAAAUAGUCAUACUACUGAAAAACGUAAAAACCCUAAUUCGCUCUAACUUGAAAAUGGACAACGAAAACCCUUAAUUCUAUGUUCUUUUACACUUAUUGUGGGGUGAUUGGGUAGUAGGGCUUUUAUAAAAUAAUAAUUUCCAAAUAAAAGAGCAUUUUUAAGAAAAAUAUAAAGAAUUUUACGGGUCCUCACAAUUGGAGCUGAUUUCGUUGGACAAAACUUUUGGAAAAGAAAAAGAAAUAGAAUGGCAGAUUCAUUUUGAAAGAUUUCACCAACUUUGAUUGUUUCGUUAACUGCCUUUCCGUGCAAGUUUUUGCCUAAAUUUGUAUAGAGAGGUUGUUCAUAUAUGGAGGUUUAAGUGUAUCUAAUUUGGUGUAAUUUCAAUACCAUUUCGAUAUCCAGAUGAUGCCCCAAAGAUUGUUCUUCAAAUCUGUAAAUUCACUGUUCAAGUCGUGAAAAUCAACCGACUUUAAAUUGUUAUAUCUUGUUGCUCAAAACUCCAAAUUUAGUUUUGCUUGUUGUGUUUGAAACUUUAAUUGGGAGUCUUAUUGUGUUACAAAUUUCAAAGGUUGAUUCCCUUUCUGUGAAUUUUGCCAAAUUUCCAAAUAUCACCGAAAACCAAGACCGGUUAUAUCUUGCCUUCUUGAAUCAGCAAAUUUGAACUGAAAAAUGAAUGCUUUCUGCUUGAAAUUUUAAAAAGGUGUCUUCUGGGGACUUUUAGUACUUUAGAUAUAGUUUCCAACGGUCAAAAUUUUUUAUUUUUGGACAUACGAAACUCAAGAUCUGAUUUUACCAAGUUUAUCGCGCAAGCUGAAAAUUCAUGAUUUCUUGGGAAAUGAGUUUUUGAGAACUUUUCAUUGUCUUUCAAUAUCGAUCAUCCAUUUUAAACUCAUUUUCAUGGAGGAUACAAGUUUCUCUUGUGACUUUAAAUGUUCGCUUUUGAAUUUCGAUUUUCGAGAUAUUAAAACUCUUUUAAGACAUUGUCUUAGUAUUACGCAAGUGUACAUUCUUCUUUAUUUGGCAAGGGAUUUGUAAGUAUUUGUGAGUGAUAAUUAAUUGUUAUUUUUCAGGCGCUCAAGAGGAUCUUGAAGAGAAUCUUGGAGCCGACCACUAAAGAUCUUAUUUGCAUUUACUCACUUAUUUUGAAUUGAUGAGUGUCAAGUACAUGAAUAGUUGCCAAUUAUGUAAAUUGCUUCUUAUUGAUUAAGUGAUUAACAAUCGUCGAGUCGAGUGUACUUUAUGACCUCGUUCUCUUUUAAUUGAUUAUAUAAUUGAAUUGCUCAUAGUUGAAUUUAUAAUUAUGGUUGAAUAUGUCGAUUGGAGUGAAUCUUAUCUACUUAUAAUUGUAUUUGUCGAUUGGAGUGAACCUCAUCGACUUAUAAUGGAAAUCGGGGGAUACCUAAAUCUCAAUUGGCUGACCUUGCGACUGGAGCUAGCAUGGGCUUGGUCGAGAAGUUCGGUGAACCAUGAGAUAAUCAAAAGAUUGAUCUAUUAAGAGAUCUCGCUCGACAUACUCGUGGAGUAGUGCCUUUUAUGAAAGAAGUGCGAGUCCGGGACAGGAGGUGUAACGGUGAACGAGAAUUGUAGAGUAAGUGGACUUCUACGGACUUAAUACCUACCCGGUUUUGACGGAGUGUCAUCCCGUGGAGGUAUUUGAUCGAGUCUUGGCGAAACGAGUGGAAUCUAACUCUUGAGAGCUCAUGUAUCCUUAUUAAGUGUGUUAAUGUUAUUUAUGUGUUACUUGAACUUCCUUAUUUUAUUUCUCGUACAAAUGUCAUUGUUACUUAACUAUGUGUUUGCAUGUUUUCUUGGCCCCUCUGAGCAUCAGCUCAUUUCAUUAGUUUCUUUUUCCUUAAUAGGAGUUCGGAAUGGAAAGAAUUUUGCGGAGAGCCAACUUUUUUACUUUUGAGUAAAAUUUUGGGAUGUAAUUAACUCGUCAACUUAUAGUGGUUAUAUUUUGGGAGGAUUGAUUUAAUUUUGAGAAUUUGUGAUGUAAGACUUGAAAGUCUAUUUAAGGGAGAGACUUCUCCUUAUUUUGACUUUUAUUAUUUGGUUGUGUACUUUUAAGUUUAAAGUUGACUUGUAUCGAGUCCUGGCGAGAGUUGGGCAGACGUUCCGCGGAUACCCUUGGGUUCGCUCUUGGGAGAAGUGGAGGCGUCACAUUUGGUAUCGGAGUUUAGGCUUCUGAUCUCUGUAGUGUAUCUUAAACUAAAAGUUUAGGAUACCAGACUAUGGACUAGUUUAAAAGUUAAGUAACUGUUCAUAGGGAUGAAAAUCAGAGCGCUAGGUUAAAGAUCUAUUUGGGAGAUGUAUUAGAGACUUUACCCUGAAGAAUAGAAACAAAAUAACUUAUUUAUACUUUAAAUGAUGUUUGAGCGAAUUAGUGACUUUAAGUUCUAACCUAGAAUUUGUGGUUGUUUUGUAGAGAUGGAGAACGGUAAUGGAGGGCAUGUUGCCAAUGGUAAUGGGCAUACUAAUGGCCACAUGGACUCUCUUAGGCCUAUCUACUAUCGAGCACUUGGUGGAGGAGCUCGCGUUCGAUUCUCGCCUUCCUCUAAAUUUUCCUAUUGUCCCUAUAAGGCGACGCAUGUUUAUCCUAAUGACCUCGUAUUGUCCAUUGACGAUGAGCGACGACAGUUAGUAAAUACUAACAGAGCCUUACUCCAGGAGAUCGAGGAGUUGGGCACUAUGGUGGAUACUCAGGGUGCUAGGAUUAUGGAGCUAGAGGGGAUAGUGGUAGACGAGUUGGUUAGGGUUGAGGACGCUCGUGAUGAGUUUCAGAUGACUAGGGUUCGACUCGCUACGGUAGUCGAGGAGGUCCGAAAUCGGGCUGCUGGGAUUCUAGAUGACUUCACUAUGCUAAUAAAGGAGGUGAUGGACGCUAUUCAAAGUUCGGUUCCUAAGGGCACCCCUGAGAAGGAGCCUUUCAAGGAAGAUCCGGAGAAGGACCCAGAGGAGGAGGUUCUGCCUGACGGUCCUGCUGAGGAUUAGGUUUGGAGUGAUGAAUCUUUUGAUUUUUGUAGCUAAGAUUAGCUGGGGUGGUGCUAGUUCAAAGGUCAUUGUAUUUUGCUUAAUUGUGUGGCCUACUUUUGAAGCACUUGAAUCUACUUUUGUCGUGCAUGACUAAAUAUACUUUUGUGGCACCUGUGUGCUAUAUUUUAUAAAUGCCCCGUGACUUGCUAAUUGUACGAACAUUAAAGUGUUAAUAUAUGUUAGUUACUGUUAUUUCCAAUGUUUUUCAUAUUGUCUUUUAUUUUAAAUAUUUUCUCGCGUAAUUAUUUUAUUUCUUGCAUUUAAACAUAACUAGGAUCAUGGAUGGACGAAAAAGCGAUAGAGGUCGAGGGCGUAGGGUUAGGUAACCCCAACCUCAAAGAGAUGAUCAAGAAUCGGCAACUGGGCCGACUCAAAGACAAGGAAAUGUAGAGAGUGACCAAGUGGCUAUUGCCAUCAACCGCAUAACGGAUAUUUUAGAGCGAUUAGCAGAGCGAGAAGGUCCAGAACCUAAUAACUAAUUUGGGGCUCAGGAUAGAGGGGAUGAUAGGGAUUUGGAGAGAUUUUUGAAAUUUGCCCCACCUAAAUUUAUUGGAGGGUCUGAUCCUAAAUUAGUGGAGAACUGAUUGGAGAGAAUGACGAAUAUAUUUGCUGCCCUAAACUAUACUGAAGAGAGACAAGUGAACUUUGUUGCCUUUCAAUUUGAGCGUGUAGCACGUGUUUGGUGGGACAUGAUAAAGGAAAAAUGGAAAAGAGCGCAGACCCAUUGAACUUGGGAAAACUUCACAAGGGAGUUUAAUGAGAAAUUUCUUUAGCCCUUAAUUCAAGAGAAAAGGGAGGACAAAUUUAUAAAGUUGAGGCAGGGAGCUUUUUGUGUGGCGGAAUACAAUGGGAGAUUUACUAAGAUUUCUAAGUAUGCUCCGGAAUUGGUGACUAAUGAGCGAAAAAAGAUAAGACGUUUUAUGCAAUGACUUAAUGUGGAGAUUCAGAAGGGGUUAACGGCAGUCCAAAUCUCUACAUUUACUGAAACCUUAAAGAAAGCACAGAGAGUCGAAAGUGCAAAGCUGCAAGUUAGGGACUUUCAUGCUAAGAAAAGGAAUACUCCUAAUUACUCUUCUGGACAAGCAAGUAAAAAUGCCCCACCUCCCAAGAUGGAAAGAGGAACGGGAGGAGUAAGGACUACUAGAGUACUAAGAGGGGCUUUAGCAACAGGAGGCCGUAAUGGGUAAGGUCAAGUGAGAGGGACACCUCCUAGUAGAUAGGUCAUGACUUCUCAAGUUAGUUGUAGUUAUUGUGGCAAGUCCAACCAUUCGGAGAAUGAUUAUUGGAGAAAGUCGGGAAAGUACUUAUAUUGUGGUAGUGCUGAGCACCAACUCUCAAGUUGUUCAAGUGUACCGAAGGUAGGAGGUAGCACUUAAAGGCCAGAAAAGUCAAUCUCUAAGCAGACUAGUGCUAAAGAGAGUCGACCAAAGGUGUCGGCUAGGAUUUAUGAUUUGGACUAUCAACAGAUUCCUGAUUCAACUGAGGUGGUUGAAGGUACGAUCCCUAUUUUUCACCGUUUAACUAAGGUUUUAAUUGAUUCUGGUGCGACACACUCUUUUGUGAACGCUAACUGUGAGAACCCUAGAAUUUGCAUAUUUCCUUAGUCUAUUGUUUCUUCUCCUUUUCUCCUCUUAAGUGCAAAAUUUGUUAACUAAUCGUUGGAAACAAAGGAAGGCCUAGUUGUUAUGUGCAUUUAUGUAGGAAAUAUGUAUGUAAGUGUAUGUGUUAGAAGUACGUUUGAGCGCGACAAUUGAAUUCGGAAAAAGAAAAAAAAAAGAAAAAAAGGAAAAAAUUUUGGAAAAGUGAAGUGGCCAAAUCCGGCCGGAUUGCCCUACAUUUUUGAAAAAAAAAAUGUUUCGUCUCGGCCUCAUAUCCGGCCAAGAAUCCGGCGGGAAAUCCGGCCAGAUUCUGGCCGGAUUGUGACGUGUCACAGCCGGUCAGAGGCUUUGACCGGCUGUUUCUUUCAUUCUUAUCCCACUUUUUUGGUCCAAAAUAUCUCAUUUCUUCCCUGUCCAGCCGUGAGCUUUGAGAGCAAAGGGAGAAAAACUCUUCAAUCUUCAUCUUUGAUUUUUGCUUCAAUCUUGGAACUUCACCAAUAGAUUUUUAAUUCCCUCCAUACAAGUGAGCUUCUUGGAAGGUUAAAGCUUUUGGGUGGAGUGAUUUUUAAAGGGGAGCUUGGAUUUGCUAGUCUUCUUGAGUUGUGAGGUAAGAUGAUUAAGAAAGUUCUCUCUUGCAUUGAUAAUGGUUAAAUUGUGAAGUGUAAGGGUUGGACAUGUCAUUUUGUGAGUUAUAUCUUGAUUCGGGGUGAUUUAUGGUGAAGUUUGAUAUUUAAUUAUGAUUUUUCUGUUUGCAUAUGAUUUUGUCUAAGUGGUCAUAUAUAAUGAAUGGAAAUGUUAUAGAAUGAGGCUAGUUAGUGUGAAUGAUGGUUAAUUGCAAGAAAAUGUUGUUUGGAAGGAAAUUUAGAAAACUUAGGGCUUCAUUGUCUUCAAUUCUGGCCGGCACUGUUCACCCUAGUUAGAGGCCGAAUUGGCCUUUGCUUAAAACAUGAAAGUUGUAGGUAUUGAUGUGUUAGAGGGGCCUGUAAAAUUUCAGGUCAUUUGGAGUAGUGUAGAGUGAGAAAAGUCGAAAAUACCCCUGCUGCCCUGGUUUCAUCCGAACUUGGGAGUUGCUUCUGUAAUUGGCUAGGAAUACUUCUGAACUAGUAGUUGAGGUCUUUUGAUUAAAUGUACCCUGAUGUUCUAGCUAUCUUAUGGCUUUGGAAUCAAUGGAUUUGGACCUAGGUAGACUGAAUUGUAGUUCGUUAACCAGAACGUGGUUUGUCCAUCUGCUUUUGCGAUUCUGAACUAGUGUCUUGUAGUUUUGACCUAGUUGUAUUACAAACUGGACUGAGUGACCUUCUACAUUAUUGUAGCCCUGUCUCUUAGCUUCGAAACGGUGGGUCUUACACCCUAAUCCAAUAAUCGGAAGUGCCUUUAGUGCCAUUCCCGCAAAAUGAUGUCAAGCAUUGUUUUAUCUGAAAAUGUUUCUAGCUUGCUUUUCAUAGUUGUUGUUGUAUUUAUAUGACUUUAAGCCUAGUGAACGGCUUUUGGACAUGAGAUUAUUCUAUACGACAUGUUGGGACUGAUUUGAGAAAAAUAAUGAAACCAUUAAUGGCUGGAAAAAUAGGUAAACACAAGGGACAUGCCGUCUGUUUAUUUUCUUAUAAAUUGAAUAAGUUAAAGUGGUUUUUGGAAAUGUAAUUUGUAUCAAAUUGAACGUAUUUCCUUGGAAGUAUCUUCAGGUCUUUGAAUAAGGGUUCAAAGACUAAAUUUCUAUUCGAACUCGUAUAUUGUCUUUUGGCAAAUAAUGGAACCGUUUUAUCUUUUGAAAACAUGAUACCCCUUUCGUUCAAACUUCAAAUGGUCCUUAAGCCUUUCCAACCUAUAGAGGUAGGAGUUCGGGUUAUAUCGGCCAUAAGUGCAUUGUUUCUAAGCAAGGUUUUAAGUGUGGAAGUUAAGGUAUUUUGUCCUCUUUUCACAUGAUUUUUAUCAAGGCUUCGGUCAUUUCUUGGCCACUUGAAUAUAUAUGCUUUUGAAUCACAUAAGCAAUUCCGAAAGAAUGUUUUCUUAACCCUCUUGGUUUGGAUUGCAUUAGGGUUAUUCUUGUUCACGGAUCCAAAUGCCUCUUUACACUUUGAAAGUCUUUUAUUCGUUUACUUGCGAGUAGUCGGGUAUUUCUUGAUUGCAUCGAAAUCAUGUUAGAUGGAUUGUAAUGUGGUCUUUGUGUCAUUUUAGGUUUCAUUGGUGAUUGAGAAGUGGGCGUUAUUUUGCGUGUCUAGGUGAGUAUUCCUUAUUUGUUAUAUUUCCUGAUUAUAUGGCUUGUUUGAAUGAUUGAUAACAUGUUAAACGCUUUCAAUGAUUGCUAGAACGAUUUUCGAGGCGAGUGUGUACUUUACCGCACUUAGCCUGAAUGAUUGUGAAAUUUUAAUGAUUGAGCGAUUGAAAUGUUAAUUGUGCAUGAAUGUAGGCCUUCGGGCUGAACUGGCCAUUGCCCCUUGUUACCGGUCGUCUCGAGCCAGUCGGACUCGGUCGAGCGAUUAGGAACUUGGGUGAACGAUCUGGUAUACUCGAGUAUUACCCUGUAGGUUGGUGGAGCCUGGCCAAAAGCCAGGGACGGGGUGAAUGAAAUGAAUGAAUGAAUGAACGAGGGGUUUUACUUAUACAAAAUGCAUUUUCAAAUGAUUGAAGGAAGGAGGGAAGGAGAAUGAAUGAAUGAAUGAAUGAACGAUUAGCUCCUUGUGAGCCCGUAUCCUUUUAAUGAAUGUGUUUAUCGCUUAUUGUACUUGUAUCGUGAAUUGUUGUUUACAUGCAUUUGUUUCUCUUGUUGCCUAUGUGUACGGAACCUCACUGAGCUUUCCAGCUCAUCCCUUUAGUUUUUGUUUUUCUUAGCAGAGGAAGACGUGCGAGGACGGAAGCUACGAAUAGAUUAGCCAUUGUAGUACUUUGGUUUCUUUUGUAAAGGUUCUCGCCCUAGUGCUUGACACGGUCUGGUUGUAUGGUGAAUUGAGAACCUAUAUUUUGACAGUUGUACUUCCUUUGAGACAGUAAUGUAUAUAAGUUCACGUUUAAGUUUGGAAUUAUUGUUAUUUCGAUUGUUUUGUGGAUUUUCUUAUCUUUUCUUAUAGUGACUGACUGAGUCCCGGCGAGAGUUGGGCAGGCGGUCCGCCGAUACCCUGGGGUAAGCCCUAGGGAGAAGUGGGGCCGUUACACUAACUUUAUGAGUGGGAUAGAUGUGAAAUCAAUUAAGUUACCUUAUAACUUGGAGAUUAGAACGCCUACUGGGGAUCAAAGCUUAGUUGCUAACUUGGUAUAUAGGGAUUGUGAAAUAUGGGUUGGAGAAUGGAAAUUACUGGCCGAUUUGAUGAGUUUAGCUAUUAAGGGAUAUGAUGUCAUUCUAAGAAUGGACUGGUUAGUUCGUUACCAUACUCAGUUGAAUUGUAAGAUGAAAACGGUAGAGCUGUGUAUUUUGGGAGAGGCAACCCUAAAAUUGGAUGUAAGGGGAAGACUGGUCUCAUCUGCUCUUAUUUCAGAGAUUUGAGUUAGAAAAAUAUUGAGUAAGGGAGCUCAAGCAUAUUUGACUUUUUUGAUAAAUACUUCUAGUGAUAAAGUGAAGUUGAAAGAUAUGCCCGUAGUAAAGGAGUAUCCAAAUAUUUUUUCUGAAGGACUAGAGUCUUUAUCUCCAGAAAGAGAGAUAACUUUUAAGAUUGAUAUGACUUCGGGAGUAGUACCUAUCUCUAAAACAUCUUAUAGAAUGGCUCCGGCUGAAUUUAAAAAGCUGAAAUUGCAAUUACAGAAUCUUCUAGAGCGAAACUUUAUAAAAGAAAGUGAUUCACCGUGGGGAGCUCCGGUGUUGUUUGUCAAAAAGAAAGAUGAGAGUUUAAAUUUGUGCAUAAACUACCGAGACUUGAAUGACACUACCAUCAAGAAUAAGUAUCCUCUAUCCCACAUUGAUGAGUUAUUUGACCAAUUACAAGGGGCGGUAGUAUUCUCAAAGUUGGAUCUCAAACAAGGUUAUUAUUAAUUGAGAAUUUUGGAAAAAGAUAUACCUAAAAUUGCUUUUAACUUGAGGUACGAACACUUUGAAUUUGCAGUAAUACUAUUUGGAUUAACUAAUGCACCUGUAGCUUUUAUGGAUUUAAUGCACCGAAUCUUUAAACCUUAUUUAGAUCAAUUUGUAGUGGUGUUUAUUAAUGAUAUAUUGGUGUAUUCUAAAACUCUGGAGGAUCAUGAGAAACAUUUGAGAGUUGUUUUGCAAACUUUGAGGGAACAUCAGUUGUACGCUAAGUUUAGCAAAUGCGAAUUUUGGUUGAGAGAAAUAACUUUCUUAGGUCAUAUAAUUUUCAAUGACGGAAUUAAAGUGGAUCCAGCCAAAGUUGAAGCAGUUUCUAAAUGGAAGCAAUCAGAAAACCCUACUGAAGUUUGAAAUUUUAUAAGAUUAGCAGGGUAUUAUCGGAGAUUUAUCAAAAAUUUUUCUAAGAUUGCGGGACCUAUGACUGAGUUGACUAAGAAAAAUGAGAAAUUUAUUUGGAACCCUAUGUGUGAAGAGAGUUUUCAGGAAUUAAAAAGACGUUUGACAAUGGCACAUGUAUUAGUUUUACCGAAUGGAAAGAAUAGCUUUGUGGUCUAUACGGAUGCUUCAAAAGAAGGUUUGGGAUGUGUAUUGAUACAAAAUGAUAAGGUGAUUGCAUAUGCUUUUAGGAAAUUAAAACCUCAUGAGAGAAAUUACCCAACUCAUGAUUUGGAGUAAGUGGCGGUAGUGUUUGCAUUAAAGAAGUGGGGGCAUUACCUUUAUGGAGUGACGUUUGAGGUUUUUACCGACCACAAGAGUUUUAAGUAUUUGUUUUUCUAAAAAGAGUUGAAUUUGAGACAACAUAGAUUGGUGAAAUUUUUAGAGAAUUAUGAUUGUACGAUCAAUUAUCACCCAGGGAAGAUCAAUGUAGCGGUCGAUACUUUAAAUCGUCAAGUGUAAGUGGCAGAAUUGAUGAUUAAAGAAUUGCACUUGUUAGAAGAUGUUAGUGUUUGGAAUCCUCGUCUCGAACUGAGAAAAGCGAUUUUGAAAAUAUUGUCGUGAAAUCCACUCUGUUGGAACGUAUCAAGGAAACUUAGGAGAAGGACGUGGAAGUACAAAAGUGGUUGGAAAAAGUUAAUAAGGGAGAAAAGUCAAAUUUUAACUUGAGAACAAAUGGUGUACUAAGAUUUCGGAAUCGUAUAAUAGUGCCAAAGGACGAAGGGUUUAAGAAGGAAAUUUUGGAAGAAGCACACCGAUCUAAGUACACGGUACAUCUUAGAGGAAAUAAAAUAUACCAAAACUUGAAGAGUUUGUACUGGUGGGAGAACAUAAAAAAGGAAAUUGCUCGAUUUGUCCAAACUUGUUUGAUUUGCCAGUAGUUAAAGCCGAGCAUCCGAAACCAUCUGGCCUAACCUUUAGAGAUACCCGAGUAGAAAUGAAAAAAUAUCACUAUGAAUUUUGUAUCUGGGUUGUCAAGGACGAAAAGAGGUAUCACUAUUAAUUUUGUAUCUGGAUUGUCAAGGACUGAAAGAGGUCACAAUACUGUUUGGGUAAUAGUAGACAUGUUAACCAAAUCUGCUCAUUUCUAUCGUUUAGUAUGAAGUACUCACUGGAGAAGUUAGCUAAACUGUAUUUGGAUGAGAUUAUAAAGUUAUAUGGAAUACCUGUAAGUGUUGUAUUUGACCGAGACCCUCGGUUUGUUUCUCGGUUCUGGCGAAAGACGCAAAAAAUGUUAGGAACCAAGUUGAGUUUUAGUACUACUUACCAUCCCUAAACUGAUGGACAGUCUAAGAGGACAAUUCAGACUCUUGAGAACAUGUUGAGAACCUGUAUUUUAGAUUUCGGAAAGAGUUGGAAUAAGUACUUGACAUUGGUGGAAUUUGCUUAUAAUAAUAGUUUCCAUUCAUCCAUUCAAGUGACUCCGUCUGAAGCACUUUAUGGCCGGAAGUAUAGAUUUCUGAUUUGUUGGGAUGAAAUAGGUGAACGAAAGAUUUUAGACCGAACUACAGUGUCUUGGAUUGAAGAGGCACGAGAAAAGGUGAAGUUAACACGCCAGAGGAUUCAAACCACACAGGGUCGUCAAAAGAGUUAUGCAGACAAUCGAAAGAAGGAUUUGGAGUUUUUGGUUGGAGAUCAAGUUUUUUUUAAGAUCACUUCUCUAAAAGCAAAUCUAAUGGUAGGAAAAGGAAAGAAGUUGCAACUUAGAUUCGUAGGGCCUUAUUAGAUACUAUAACGUGUGGGAAAUGUGACCUAUAAGUUGGAACUGCCAUCAAAUUUAUCUCAGAUUCAUAACGUUUUCCACAUAUCUAUGCUUAAGAAAUAUCAUUCAGAUCCGUCUCAUGUGCUGCAACCGGAAAAUAUUGAAAUUGAUGAGACACUGACUUAUGAGAAGAGACCAGUGAAGCUUCUAGAUCGUAAGGUGAAGGAACUAAGAAAUAAAUGAAUCCCUUUAGUAAAAGUCCUUUGGAGAAAUCACGGAGUAGAAGAAACAACUUGGGAAGUAGAGGAGGAGAUUCGAAAGAAGUACCCAGACCUAUUUCUAGAUCAAGGUAUGAAUUUCGUGGACGAAAUUUUUUUAAGGAGGAGAGGAUGUGAGGACUCGUUUUUUUUUUAAAUAAUCAUUUUUAUAAUUAUUUGCCUUAGAGUUAGUUAACUAUAUUUUAGUUGCAUGAAUUGCCCUUAAAUUUCACUUUAUCAUGCGCGAGUCAAAAGUUCGCGUAUUUCGUGUCGGAACGACUAAGUGGAGAUUUAAGAAAUUAAUACUAGACUAGUUAAAGUGAGUUAUUACAAUGUUAAAGGAAAUACCUUGGAAAAUUAGUGCAUGAGUGUAUCAAACCCGAGAGAAAUUGGUGGUACGAAACCCUAUUCCAACAACUAUUCAAAGUUGACUUUUGGCAAGUUUAAUGCCUACUUUUCCCUCCAAUCUUCCAAGACAAACCACAACACACAAUUUUCUCAUUUCUCUCUCUCCAUUCUAGGCCAACACAAGAAAAGAAAAGGGAAGGAAGAACUUCAUCUCCUAGCUUCCAUUUCACUCACAAAUUUUCUACCAAAUCACUCACAACUUGGAGUACCACUCUAGCUAGGAGCAAGAAGCAAUCUUGUGAAAUUUCUUGGAGAAAAUUUCGGUGAAAAAUCUGGUUUUCUUCAAGGGUUAAAGUGUGAGGACUCGCAAAAUUUACUUAUUUAAUCUCCUAUUUCUAACUUAUUUAAUUAUUUAUUUGGCCUUUUGCUCCGAAUAUUAUUUUCUAAGCUCUUGAGACCUAAUUACAUGAAAAUAUAGUUUCAUUAUAUUUUUAAAAUGACUUGUUUCAAAAAUUAAUUUCCGGAAGCUCGUUUAGUGAAAAUAGUGAACACGUCUUUGGAAAUCUUGAUCGAUUGAGAGUACAAUAGGUUUGAAAUAUUGGAGACAUGUACAAUGGACCUAAAUUAGGCAUUUUAAUGUUUAAAUGCUCAAGUGAUAGUUAUUAGUACUAUCGUUAUAAGAAUUUUUCAGAAAUUUCGUCUUAUCGCGCAUAAAUUGGAAGUACGCGUUUUUACGCGCGCAAUUAAUUUAGGAACUUUAGACCCUUAUUUUGGGACCAUUAAGAGUGAAUAAUAUUUAUAUGAAUAUAAGUGCAUUAGAGGUUUAGUGCACUAGUGAAACAAAUGCAAGAGAAAUCGAGCACAAAACACAGGAGAGUUUACUUUUGGAGCAUUUUGGGCCACACAUUCUUAAGCUUCUCAUGGGUGCAUCACACUAGAUCAAAACCCUUCAAUUCAUCACCCAAAAGUGGCGUGAAACACUCUUCCUCUUUGCUUCCAAAACAGCCGUGCAUCAAGAGAAGAAAACAAUACCAAAGUUCUUCAUUUUUCUUCAUCAAAUCCUCACCAAACUUUCACUAAAUCAAACAAAAACUGAACCACACAUAGCUAAUCACUUGGUGACCAACUUAAGCUAGAAAAGAGGCUCGAUUCUCACCAUUUUUCUCAGCUUUUAGAGGCCAAAAAUUUCUGCUUAAGCCAUCAUCAAAGGUAAUUAUCGAUCAAACCUUCAAAUCUUGAUUUAUGGAAGUAGUAUUGCACUUAUGAGCUUGAAAUUCCUUGUGGGUAACUUUGUUUAUGUUGGAAAUUGUUGAGUGGGCUCUAUGAACUCCCACCUUUAUCUUGGGGACUGAUAUCAUGCUUGAUGAUGAAAUUAAUGGUGGUUUAGUGCUUAAAUUAGUGGAUUAAUGUUGUAUUGUUGGUAGAAAAUCAUAGGAGGUGCUUGGAGCAAAAGUGACCGUUUUACCCCUGCUUUGUCCGACCAUUUUUGUGCACAAUUUUGAGGUUCUAAUGACUUGAUUAUGUUUUUUACAUGUUAGUGUGAGUGUGUACAAAUUUUCAUUGAAAAAUAACAUGAUUUGGUUGGUCAAAUGAGUUGAUUUCCAAAGUUAGCAAAACUGGAAAAUGAAUCCCGUAUUGCCCAGGCAGUCAUUUUGUAUCGGCCAUAACUCUUUCCUCCGAUGUCGAAAUUAAGCGCCGUUUGCGGCACUGGAAACUAGACAUUCCCAGCUUUCCAUUGGUACCAAAUUCACGUUCUGGUUCCACUUGAGUGAGCCACACCAUUCGUUUGAAAAUCACUACCCUGUUUCGUUGCUCUCCAGGAGACAGGACAGGACUUGUAUCUUGAUGCUCAAAAACGAGCUGUUUGUGGAUAGAAUUUCAAAAUGGUUUCUUCUGAUAAAAUUCAGCUUUAUGAGAGAGCUUUCCAACGCCAUCAACCACGCUCAAUUCCAAGUUGAAUUGAGUGAGUUGUGGCCAUAUUUCAAAACUGAUGCAGUGAGUAAAAAUCCUCUUUUAACUAGUUAAAUGGCCUAUCUUGACUUGGGACUUGUCAUUCGAACUUUUUGGUAUAAAUCACCUACCAAAUACAGCUUGGAUGUUUCUUAGACAUUAUCUAUGCAAAUGAACCAUAUUUGAGAGGUUUAGUGGCCAAAUGUUUGAGAAAAGGAAAACAAUGGUACGAGGCAGAUUGCCUUGGAAAUUCUUGAAAACUUCAACAGUUUUGUUAAUUGACUUUUCGUGCUAGAUUUUGGUUGAAAAUUUGCAGAGGAAUAGCCCCUAUAUGGUAGUGUAAUACUGCUAAAUUUGGUGCCGUUCCAAGUCCGUUUCAAUGUUCAACGAACGUCCCAAAGUCAGUGAUUUAAAUCUGGAAAAUAGGCCAACGGUCUCAAUUUUAGCCAACUUUGAGCUGCUAUAUCUUGGCACUCAAAACUUUGAUUCUUGUUCCGUUUAUUUUGUUUUAAACUUUGAUUGUAGCUCUAAUUGAGUUUUAAAUUUUAGAGGCUAGUUCGUAUUGUGUGAAUUUUGCUGGAUUUUCAAAGUUGGUCAAAAACCAACCCCGAAACUGUCAUAAUGGUCCCAAGCAGCAACUUUGAGUCAAUUUUUGAAUAUCUUCCGUUUGGAAUCAUGGAAAAGUAUCUUCUAGGAACUUUUAGUGCUUUUGAAGAAGUUUCCAACGGUAUCAAGCUUUCUAAUUAUGGACCUACAUAGUGCAAGAUACGAUUUUUCUAAAUUGACACCCAAAGCUGAAAUUUGUCAAUUUCUUAGAAAAUGAGAUUUUGGAAACUUGCCUUCUUUUCUCGAUACCGAUUGAACAUCUUGAACUCGAUUUCAUGGAAACUGUUAGUCUCUCUCUUUAGACUUUAAAACUUUACUCUUGAACCUCGAUUUACGAGUAAUUGAGGUUCAUUUUCAUAAGAUUUUCUUAGAUUGCAGUAGCGUACAAUCUUUCUCGAUAAUUAGAGAUUCGUAGUGAUAUUGAGUGGUACUUGAUUAUUGUUUACUCAGGCACUCGAGGGAAUCUCCAAGAGGAACUCGGAGCGGACACCUAAACGCUUGUUUGAAAACUACUCGCUUGUUUUGACUAGGUGAGUGUUCCAUAUAGGAAUACGUAAUUGAAUAAGUUUAGGACACACUUAUUUCAUGAUUAUUAAGUGUUAAGUACUAUGUGUUAAGUAUUUACCAUACUCAUGCCUAUUUAAGGAAUGUAUACUUGCAUUGUAUAUCUACAUGAAUUGGUUAAACGAUUAACCAUAUCAAAUGACCAUAUGAACUCGAUACAUGCUUAACUUGCUAGAUUGUUUACUUAACCUACUUGAUUUUGAGAAAUGGAGUCGAGUGUGUACUUUAUCGCACUCGUUCUCUUUUGAGAUGAAUAACUCAUGCUUGGAAAUGCUCGAAUAACAUGACUUGGUAUGCUAAGGUUGCAUACGUCGUUGGAGUGAAUCUCCUCGACUCUCACAUGGUAAAAAUGGGAUAACGGCCAAUGAUGGCCUAUUCAUAUGACAAAUGCCUGUCAAUUAACCGUCACUAUUUAACCGUUAACCGUUAACCGUCAACCGUUAACCGUGAACCGUUUACCAACCACAUGACUACUUGAUUACUUGACUAUUUGCUCACAUGAUUUCCAAUCUACAUGACUAUUCGAUAUCCGUGAAUUACAUGCUCCCAUGAAAUCAACUUGUAUUGCUUACGUGCUUACGUGCUAAGUAUCUAAUUGAUUAAUUGAUUAUCAUGAAUCACAUGUUAUAUGAAGCUGUCCAUCAUUAUUAGGCGAGUGUGUACUUUAUCUCACUCGACCUACUCAAAUGAUGAAUUUUUCCUUUUGUCGAAUUACUUGGUUACCUAUGCAUGUUGUAAGCUCUAAGCUGAACUUGGGCCCUGCCCUUGGUUACUGACCUACUCGAACCAGGACUGGGCUCGGUCGGGUAGGUUGAAACCCUGGGCCACCGUUUCGGUAUACUCGAGUAUUACCACUGGAGGGAUAAGGCGAUGGCCAGACCGUACCGUGGGGAUCGGAAGUCAUAAGGUGUAGAUGACCGACAGAGUUCCACUGGAACACCGUAUCCUACAGUAUAUGUUUACCUGGUAUCAUGAUAAUUGUUUCAUGCUAAAAUGCCAAUAUGAAAUCCUGAGCUAUGCCUGUAAUAAGCUCCAAUCACUCGUGAACUAUACAUGCCAAUGUCUUGAACCAUAAUAACUGUCUCAUGAUAAAUGUCUCAUACCAUGAUAAUGUCUCAAAUUACCCGUACAAUGAUUAUCACCUCAUGAUAACAUGCCAUUGUGUAACCUUGAACCAUGCAUAUGAUAUGCCCAAUCUACUUGAUUUAUUUGAACUGUUAGAGUGUCUUGGAACCUCACUGGGCUGUAUAGCUCAUCCCACGUUGUGGUUUUCUUUUACAGGGUUCGAGACCAAUGGUGCUCGUGAGUAGUACUAGAUUGUUUUCUUUUGAAAACUUUAAUUUUAUAUUAUAACGGAUGGUUAUUGUACCCUUUUCCGUUGGGUUGUAUUUAAGCUUGAAAGCUGCAUAAUUGUAAGUGUAAGAUAUUUGAAGUACUUUAAUUAUGUAUUGAAGUUACUUAAGGUAUUUCGGGCUUUUGAAUGAUGGAUUGUAGUGAGUCCUGGCGAGAGUUGGGCAGGCGUCCCGCGGAUACCCUUUGGUUCGCCUUAGGGAGAAGUGGGGGCGUCACAUAAAGGGUAAUCACUCCACCCCUCUUACCUUUCAAAUUAUAAGAAGUUUAAAGGUUAAUCUCCAUAGGUUUGAAACCCUAACCGCGUAUUAGGCUAGCAGAUUUGAGGAACCAUUUAUUUCGCUUUAAAUCAUAGGUUAGUUAUUUUGAUGAGGCCUCUAGGUGGCUGACUUGAGGCUUGAUUGUUUGAUUAUGAUUGUUUAUGUGAUAUAUAGCUUGAUUAUGGUUAGAAAGUAGAGAGAAAUCGAAAGAAAGUUGUGAAGGCAAGCUAGCCGAAAAUUCUAUCCAUGUUGUUCUGUCUUUAUUUCGGAAUUUUGAUACUUGGUUGGCUGCGAAAUUGAUCGAUAUAUAUUGUAUAAUGUGUAUACAAAGUGCCUUUCAAAAAUUGUAUCGAAUGGUUGCACAAAACUUGAGUUUUGGAAAAGUUUCAAAUCUGGAAAACGUAUAGCAGGGUACCUGGACAGUAAGUCUUUGUCUAAACAUAACUUUUUGUGCAAAGGUCGAAAUUGAGUGCCGUUAGUGGCAUUCAAAACUAGACAUUCAGAGCUUUCAACGGUAUAAAAAUCUGCUUCUAGUUCAUUUUGAGUGAUCCGUAGCGAAUCAACAAAUUCGGCUGUUCUGCUUUGCCUAUGUGUUCGAAUGAAACUGGAAAGCUACAUGUUGUGGCUCGAUUUUUUCGCACUUGUGAAAAGAUUUUCAAAACAAAUCUGAUAAAUUGUAGCAUUUUGAACUUAAUUUCCAAUGUCAUAAACCAUUCUCAAUUUAGAGUUGUAUAGAGCUAGAUAUGGUUUGAUUUUGAAAACACGACAAAGCUAGAAAUUGGAAGAUUUUCCCUUCCUUGCUGACCAAAUGGUCAAAUCUGUUUUGGGAUGUUAUAUUUUGAAAAUCUUAGUGUCAUUUAACCAUCAAUUGCUUAUUAAAUGGUUUUGGAACCUUGGUUUAAAAAAUGGAGUGAAUUGGGGCUGAUUUUAUUGGACAAAACUUUUGGAAAAGAAAAAGAAAUAGAAUGGCAGAUUCACUUUGAAAGAUUUCACCAACUUUGGUCGUUUCGUUAACUGCCUUUCCGUGCAAGUUUUUGUCUAAAUUUCUAUAGAGAGGUAGUCCAUAUAUGGAGGUUUAAGUGUACCAAAUUUGGUGUUAUUUCAAUACCAUUUCAAUAUCCAGAUGAUGCCCCAAAGAUUGCUCUUCAAAUUUGUAAAUUCACUGUUCAAGUCGUGAAAAUCAACCGACUUUAAAUUGUUAUAUCUUGUUGCUCAAAACUCCAAAUUUAAUUCUGCUUGUUGUGUUUGAAACUUUAAUUGGGAGUCUUAUUGUGUUACAAAUUUCAAAGGUUGAUUCCCUUUCUGUGAAUUUUACCGAAUUUCCAAAUAUCACCGAAAACCAAGACUGGUUAUGUCUUGUCUUCUUGAAUCAGCAACUUUGAACUAAAAAAUGAAUGCUUUCUGUUUGAAAUCUUAAAAAGGUGUCUUCUGGGAACUUUUAGUAUUUUGGAUCUAGUUUCCAACGGUAUAAAUUUUCUAUUUUUGCACAUACGAAACUCAAGCUCCGAUUUUAUCAACUUUAUCGCGCAAGCUGAAAAUUCAUGAUUUCUUGGGAAAUGAGUUUUUGAGAACUUUUCAUUGUCUUUCAAUAUCGAUCAUCCAUUUUAAACUCAUUUUCAUGGAGGAUACAAGUUUCUCUUGUGACUUUAAAUGUUCACUUUUGAAUUUCGAUUUUCGAGAUAUUAAAACUCUUUUAAGACAUUGUCUUAGUAUUACGCAAGUGUACAUUCUUCCUUAUUUGGCAAGGGGUUUGUAAGUAUUUGUGAGUGAUAAUUAAUUGUUAUUUCUUCAGACGCUCAAGAGGAUCUUGAAGAGAAUCUUGAAGCCGACCACUAAAGAUCUUAUUUGCACUUUCUCACUUAUUUUGAAUUGAUGAGUGUCAAGUGCAUGAAUAGUUGCCAAUUAUGUAAAUUGCUUCUUAUUGAUUAAGUGAUUAACAAUCGUCGAGUCGAGUGUGUACUUUAUGGCAUUCGUUCUCUUUUAAUUGAUUAUAUAAUUGAAUUGCUCAUAGUUGAAUUUAUAAUUAUGGUUGAAUAUGCCGAUUGGAGUGAAUCUUAUUGGCUUAUAAUUGUAUUUGUUGAUUGGAGUGAACCUCAUCGAUUUAUAAUGGAAAUCGGGGGAUCCCCAAAUCUCAAUUGGCCGACCUUACGACUGGAGCCAGCAUAGGCUUGGUCGAGAAGCUUGGUGAACCAUGAGAUAAUUAAAAGAUGAUCUAUUAAGAGAUCUCGCUUGACAUACUCAUGGAAUAGUGCCUUUUAUAAAAGAAGUGCGAGCCCGGGACAGGGGGUGUAACGGUGAAUGAGAAUUGUAGAGUAAGUGGACUUCUAAGGACUUAAUACCUACCCGGUUUUGACGGAGUGUCAUCCCGUGAAGAUAUUUGAUCGAGUCUUAGCGAAGCGAGUGGAAUCUAGCUCCUGAGAUCUCAUGUAUCCUUAUUAAGUGUGUUAAUGUUAUUUAUGUGUUACUUGAACUUCCUUGUUUUAUUUCUCGUACAAAUGUCAUUGUUAUUUAACUAUGUGUUUGCAUGUUUUCUUGGCCUCACUGAGCAUCAGCUCAUCCCAUUAGUUUGUUCUUCCUUAACAGGAGCUCGGAAUGGAAAGAAUUUUAGGGAGAGCCGACUUGUUUACUUUUGAGUAAAAUUUUGGGAUGUAAUUGACUCGUCGACUCAUAGCGGUUGUAUUUUGGGAGGAUUGAUUUGAUUUUGGGAACUUGUGAUGUAAGAUUUGAAAGUUUAUUUAAGGGAGAGACUUCUCCUUAUUUUGACUUUUAUUAUUGGUUGUAUAUCUUUAAAUUUAAAUUUGACUUGUAUCGAGUCCUGGCGAAAGUUGGGCAGGCAUUCUGCGGAUACCUUUGGGUUCGUCCUUGGGAGAAAUGGAGGUGUCACAAACACUGCUGGUUAUAGGGCUGGCUAUGAUGUUGGUCAAAUUGAUUGUUGAAAUUUUAUGGUUUACUAUACACUAGGGCUAUCGUGUUUUGACCACCUCAAACCUUGUCUAUAAAUACGGGAUGAUUUGAACAAUGAAGGACAUAAUAGCCAAGAGAAAGAACUUUGGAGGCUAGAAACAACUCCAAAACAUGUACUAUUUCAAUUAGAAAUCUUUAGUUCUUUACAUUAUUAUAGGUUAGGUAGUUCUUAUACAAUCUCUGUAUGCAUCUAAACUUGGAUAAAGAUUGAAGAUUGAAGAAGAAGAGAUCGAAUGCUCACAAGUGACAAGAGUUUCUUCUCUCAACUCUUUUGAUUUCUUGUAUUUGUACUUCACUAAUUAGUUGCAAUACAAGAUUGUUGUGUGCUUUCUAUUUCAUUUUAUUUUGCUAAAGUUUAUGCCUUGGAUUGAAUGAACUUUUUAUGAUUGUUAUGUGAUAUUUGCUUGGUUAUUUGAUACUUUGAGCAAGUUAUUUAGAACAUUAACAAUCAUGAUUAACUAGCUAUUAGUUGUGAUUAUAUCAAGGUAUUGAUUCAUCCAUGAAGGUGGGGAUUCAAUCUUAGUUCAAAAAAGUGCUAAACCUAGAUUGUACACUCAUUAAUAUAGGGUUGCAUCUUUGUGGCAUUAGUAGUUUUUUCCAUAUAAUUCAUAGAGUUGAAUAAAUUUAUAGUUAAAUUCAUAUCACGUUAGUAGGUGUGGAGUAGUUAUAGACAUGGUUGGUACACCGACAGAAAGGGUAUCACGUAUAUAAGGAAAUUACGUCAUAACUUAGUCAAGAUAAACGUACUCAAUUAACCAGUAAAAUCACUUGCAAUAAUAAUUAGGAAUUUUGCAUCCCUAGGAGCCUUUUGAUUGUUGUUUUUACUUCCUUUUAUUAUUUAUUCAUAGUAUAGAUCUACUUGCUUUUAAUUGUGGUUGUCUAAGUAAUAGAGGAGUUCGAAAACCACUAGUAUUUGACAAUCUUUCCUGUGGGAUCGACACCUAAUAUAACCUAUAUUCAAUAAUGAUCUAUAUACUUGUAAUAUUUAUGUUUUUAAAAUUUGAAAAGAAGGAAAAAACCUCAUCACCUUCGGCACAUUAUCUUUUGUUGGACUGCUCACUCUUCUGGAUACUUUACAAUCAAAUAUGUAGUUGAAGUGUUAAGUGAGCACACUGAGGAUACUAUUGGUAUGGCUUAAAAAGUAUGCACCAAGAUUUGCUUUUAUAGUUUGGCUAACUUGUCAAAAUAGAUUGGCUACUAAGGAUAAACUCUUCAAAAUAGAGUUUUGUUAUUUAUUAGUUAUGUGGAUGAUGCAACACAUAAUGUAAGAGACACAUACUCUUGAUAAGAUGAAUCCUCUUUCUAGUUUGCCAUCGCAUCCAUCUCCUAUCCCACCUUCUAUUUAGCAGCCGAUCCUACCUCUCACUCCUUCUUCUCUGCUUUUCUUUCUCCUUCCUCUUCCCCAUCAUCCUACUCAUAACCCUAUUGUACCCUUCCCAUUGCUUCAAAUUCAGAUUAGCCCCACAAAAACCUAGAUGCACCUUCAAUACCUACUCAACAAACAAUUUUCUCUUCAUUUGAAAAUUGCCUUCUUAAUUCCCAAUCCAACCAGGAUAAACCUUAUCCUGAUGAUUCCGAGAACGAAGGAGAUAUCUUUAAUCCUCUCUCAAGCAUUUUCUCAAGAGUUGAUAAAUCCUAUAGUUGUAACUUUUGGAACCUCUCUCUCAUUAUCAAACCUUUAGGUACGACCUUAGAUUUUAAAUAUGUCAACUAGUAGCUCCGUGUAAUUUUGAAACCAAUUGGAUGUCUCUCAUUUAGGACAUUGGUUGAGAUUAUUACAUAGUGAACUUCAAGGAGCUCUUGGGUUAUCAAAAAGUUCUGUCAAAAGGCCUGUGAUUCAUCAAUAAAUACUUCAUUGCUAUUAGAAGAUAGACUCCCAACUUCAAUACCUUAGACAACAUUAGUAAUACUACUGUUAUUUGGGUAAGACUCUUAUCUCUCAAUGGAAUAUUAUGUUGCAUAGAUCCUUUCUAAGGUGAGAUAUAUUUUGGAAAAUUUACUAAAAAUUGAUGCUAGAAUAGCUAAGUUAGAAAGGGGGAGGUGAAAAAAAACUAGAAAGAGGGUGCUUUGCAUGCCUGUGUAAAGCUCAAUUUAGAUAAACCUUUGAUUCCAUUUAUCCAGUUGGGAAGAUUUAAACAAUCUUUGCAGUAUUAAGGUUUGUGCUUCUGUUUCUUUGUAGAUUUAUAGGUCACGAUGUGAAAAAAUGUAAGCAAAAUCUACAGGUAGAGAAACCUGAGAAGUCUAUUGAUCUUUGAAAAAUUCUACUUAUGGGCCAUGGAUAUUAGCUGGUUUGAAAAGAAAAAUGGAGUGGUACCACCGAGAGAUCGGAAAAUCUUAACCAAUACAAAUUUCAAAUGAGCCAAAUCGUCUUGGGCUCCACCAUAAAAACCCAAAACCUUAAACAAAGUUCAAAAAACUACAAUUAACCCUCUAGGCCAAACACUUCUUCUUUAGAUCACCUUUCAACCUUGACUCUAGAAUAUAUAUUGACUUUUGAGUAAACAAAACUAUAGUCUAACCCCAAUUUCCCUUUUCAUGUCACCUCAUGUACUUCAUUACCACCUAACUCUUCUAAAUUUUUUUCCAAUAUGGAAAUGGUGUCUACAAAUUCAACAUCGCCCCUUUCUAUAAUUUCAAAGACUCAUGAGUCUUCAAUAUCAAAGAGUGAUGUUAUUGCAAACCUUAGCAAUUCAAAUUAGAACCUUCUCAUCAAAUUAGAUACUCUCUCUAACCUCUAACCUGUGAGAACCCGAAAAUUUAUUUUCAUAUCUUUUAUUUUAACCAUUUGUCUUGAAUUCAUGGUUGAUUUAAUGGUUGAGUAAUGAUUUUUGUAUCAUGUUGCUUCAACUUGUAGUAUGUCGAGUUUCAUGGUGCAUUAUGCUAAUGUGACCAACUAGUGAGGUGAGUGCAAUAAAUUUGGUGGACAAGGAGUUUUGUGCAAAAGGGAUUAUGUGCCAAGAGGUAUUAAGAAUUAAUUGAAGAAGAAAUAGAUAUUUGGGUGCAUUAGAAACAAUUAGAUAGACUUGAGUUAGAUGCUUGCCAUUUGUCACUCAUCUAACCAACCUUGAUUUUGAUCAAAACCAAUACUUAUCCAACCAAGCUUUUCUUUCAUCAUUAUUUCUUCUUCUUUCUUCUUGUCUUGGUUGAAAAUAUGGAGAGAAAAGUGAGAGAAAAACAUAAAUUUUUAACUUUGAUUUCUUGUCUAAUUAAUGAAAAAACAAGAGAAAAAUCCUUAUCCACUCCAUAAAUAUUUGAGGCAAGUUCGGAAGGAAACUCUUGGAGGAGUUUUUGGGGAAAGGAAGCUUUACAACUUUCGUGAUUUGCUUUUCAUACUAGGUUUUAGAGGUAAAAAGGUAAACCGUGUUAGGAAACCUAUCUUUCUUAUCUUAUCUUUGAGUUUAGUUGAUGUAUGAUGUUAUAGAAGCUAAAAGAAAGACUUGUUUUUUGGAGGAUUUAAUGUUUUCUCAAGUUAUAUUGUAAAGUUCCAACUUUGGUGCAUAAAAUAUAUAGUCUAGUUUAGAGUUUAUUUAUGUGCAAUUUUGAUGGAUUCCUUUACCAAGAAUAUAUACACCUCAUGACAUGUUAGCUUUGAUCAAUAGUGUAUUUACCAUGAAAAUAGGGUUGAAAGUUGGAGGUUUAAAUAGAGAAACUUGGGAACAAGUUGCUGCCAAUUCUUCUUUGGUUGGCUGAGAGAGAGAGGGGGAAAGUUUGAGUUGUCAGUUUAGAGUGAUUGUGAUAUGCUUUUGCUCAAGAUACUUAAUACUUUGAUCUUCACAUGUAUGUUGGUUUUGAGCCAAAACAAAGAGAAUUAAGUGGAGAAAAAUGAUUUUUCUCCAAACCAUUUUAUUACUCGAAAUUUCCAGUUUUGAACCUCAAGAGUCUUGUCCUUUUCUUCAAAAUUUUUGACUAUAAUCAAUGUAUUUGUGCUCCAUAUUAUCCUUGAAACAUUGUUUUAGCAUGCACGUUAUUUUUUCCCUUGAUUUGAGCAAUAAAAAUUUGCAAUUUUAGAAGCUAUAUUAGGGUAAAAUCUGUAAAUUGAUGUGUCUUCUAAGUGAAACUUCAAAACUCAAAAUUUUUCAUUUAUAUUUGCUUAGAGUUGAUGGACUCUUGAUGUACUAUAUGAUCACAAGAUUUGAGAGUGUUCAAGAGAAAGAACUAGGCUUUAAAGUGAAAAGAUCAUGAUAUAGUGGUGUGUUCCAACUGCAUGUUAGGACCAUGUGAUUUACUUGAUUAAUGCUUCAUGUAACUUGUUGACUAAAAUUGCUAGAUAUCUUGAAUUGUUAGUGCACAGGCGAGUGUAUAUUUUAUCGCGCUCGUCCUCUGUGAAAUUGAAUUCCAUGAUCUUGAAUGUGCACGAAUAUAGGUCUCAUACAUGAUUGCAUCAGUUGAAUUGGACCCUUCACUGGAAUUCUUAUCCGAGACCCAUCUUAGUGAGGUCAGCUAGGCUGGACAGCCUUGGGUAAAGAAAGGAUUUCUAUUCUGUUUACAAGUGAUCUGGACAAGUGAAAUGCAAUAUUUGAAUGUUGGAUACUCGUGUGCUUUACCCCAACGAUUCCACUGAGUGACUAACUUGACAGUCGAUUGUGUACUUUUACCACAUUAGCUAUACUAUUAUUGGGGCUCCAAAAUCCGAACCCCUUUGGUUAGUUGAUCGAAUCGAGCUAGCGAGCACUUGCUCGAGUAGAUUGACGAACCAUGGGUACUGUUUAUUGAACUUGUACUGGAUUUGGUAUACUCGAGUAUUACCCUUCUUGUUAUAUAUUUAGCGUUCAGGCCUGAUAGGAGGAUGAUCAGUGGAUGGAGAAUGGAGUUAAGCGGUAAUCUACAGGAUAUUAUUACUGUAUUCUAAGGUUGAUGGAGUAUCAACAGAUCCUGGACAAACUACUAUUGAAUUGGCUCGGAAAAACAUACUGUUUCUACUGAACUAACUCACAAGAGUAGACUGUAUCCUUUUACAUGAAUAUGUUAUUGACUGUACAUUGUUAAAUGAUUUAUUUGGAUAUUGCUUGCUUCAUGAAAUAUGUGAUCAUACCAUCAUGUAAAUUUUACAAUACCUGAUAGAUUGUUUGAACGUUUUUUUGGGAGCUCAUUGGGCUUUUAGCUCAUCCCAUUAUUUGCUUUCCUUAACAGGUUGUGGGGAUGAGAGAGAUGAUGAUAGCAAUAAUUUGUAAUAGGAAAUUUGGAUCUUGUAUUUGGCUGACAUACUAUAUUAUGGAACUAGUCUUUUAAACUCUUUUCUUUUGGCUUGUCCUUGAAUUUGAAUAUUUGGAUGAUUUGUGGCAUAUAAAUGUUACAUUGAAGGACUUUAGUGUUAUUGAUUAAGGUUUGUAGUGAGUUCUAGCGAAAAUCAGACAGGCAGUUAGCUACCCUCUGGGGUAUGCCCUAGGGAGAGAUGGAGUUGUCACAUAAUCUCUCCGCUAUCCCUUAUUGGCACUUAUCAUUUUUCAAAAAAUUGGUCACCCUAGAAACUUCUCACAUAGGAGGGCUCUAAGUGCAGAGUCCAUAUUCAAUAAUUGCACUCACCAUCACCACCAUUAUGAUUGUAGACGGGUGAGAAGAACCCUACCUUGCUACCAAUAAUAUCAAGAACCAAUUUCUCAACAACGAACAACCUCUAAUCUUCAUUCUCAGAGAUCUCCCAGCUUGGAAACAUGUCGACACCUACCACAUCCUCAACCCGCUCUUGGCCUUGCAACCAUACGUGACAUGGAAGGACAUCAAAAGGCAAUAAGAAAGUGACAUCUUGGGAAAAAUGCAUCUGUUGGGAAGCAGUAUUGGUGUAGCCAUCACAAUGGACUUCGACCUUACUCGAUCUACUUGGAAAUCAAGCAGACCACUAGAUGCUCUUAUUGCACAGUCCUGUAGGAUAAUUGCUCCAGUGGUAGCUCCAAACCAUUGAUACCA
This 78130-nucleotide long non-coding RNA is filed under the name Coffea arabica (coffee). RNAcentral describes it as "long non-coding RNA (CARA_LNC007450)". The record is from RNAcentral. Lineage: Eukaryota; Viridiplantae; Streptophyta; Magnoliopsida; Gentianales; Rubiaceae.